UUUUUUUUUUUUUUUGUUUUUUAUUUUUUUCUUUGGCAUGUUAUAAUUUGUCUGUUAUAAGAAUAAGGUAACGUAUGACUUCGUAACAGAUGAUGUUCAAUCAAUGUUGAGACAUUCAUAGCUGAAACUGGUGCAGGCUCAACAAAAGAUUAAUGCUAAUGUUUGAUCUUGCUGUGCAUGUGUACCAGAAAUGGACAGAACUGGGCGUGCUUCUUCCAUUUCUAAUGAGGAAUAUAGUAAGCAGAUCGUGAGACAUCUGUGAAUGUGUGCUAUCAUACUAGGUUGUAAUUUGUAUAACUGUCUUGCUGUAUUAGUUACAAUGUUAGAUCAGAUGUCAUUACUUGGAGUAGAACAUCUAAACUCUAACUACACCAGAAUUACAGUUAAAAUAAACUUUGAGCCUUAUAUCCUUUUGUUUCAAAAACCAUGAACCAAGCCACGUUACAACCUUCAAAAGACCUAAUUGAAGUGGGGUUUAUUCUGAAAGCAUACUACAACAAGGUUGAGUAAACUGACUCCCAAAGAUUUGCUAAUAUGUUAUUCUCACUACAUCAUUCACACGCUAGCUAAACCAGCACCGCGAUUAGACUCAUGAUCCACUCGCCACACACUACCACAACACUCCAAAUGAAUGAUUGUUUUUCAAAACUUGCAUAACUAUUGCAUUAAAAUCACCAUUUCCUGAAUAACAAUUCUUAAUUGUCAAUCAGUGCUUGACAUCGAGAAAAAUUCUAACAAGGGGCAGUCCAAGAGGCACUUUAUCGUUGGUGCUGACACGAAUCAAAAUCAUCUCAUAAUCCUAUGGAUCAGGGGCAUGGCAUCUUCUGAUCAUAUUGACCUAAGAAGUAGUCAGCUUGAGACAAAUCUCCAAGCAUCGGUUGAUCAGGGAGGGAAAACACUUCAAUACUCAGUACGCCUGGGGCAGGUCCCUCAAAGGCUAGUCUGGGGCAAAACGAGUUGCAAGGGGGAAAAAUUCCCUUCAUAUCUUCAAGUCAGUCGAGCAGAUUGCAUCAGACAUUAAUGACUGCUUGAAGUCACAAUAAAAUGUCAAAAGUUCGUACCAGUACAACAUCAUACCUUGACAAGAAUCCUUAGGGUACGUCAAAGGCAUAAUCAUCAUGCGUUGAUCACAUCGCUAUGCUCAGUCACAGGCUGGCCAAACACUUCAGAAGAAGAACUGAGAUCUUCUCGAAGACAAGUACACAAUAUAUCAGCAAGAGAUCAAACUGGGGGCACCAAGAGCACCCACACCUAUUGCGUGUCCAUCGCACCAUCAACUACCGAGUGUCGGGAAGUCAGAUCCUUCCACCAAUCAAUAGUCCAAUCCACAUUGACAAUCACCAGAGAAACCAAAGCCCACCUCCCUGGCAUCCAUACAAAAACUAAUACAACCAACACUGGUUUCCAGAAAAUACAUUGCCUUUGAAAAGGGGGGCCAAUCCCAAACAAACCAAUCAUUCUUUGCAUUCAAACAUGCAUCACAUGCAUCACCUCAUUACAUAAACGCAUACAUAACAUUUAUGCAUAUAACACAAAUCAAAAUCCAAGGUUUAGUCAUAGGCAUCCAGGCCAACCCUCAAUCGAGUCGCUGUCACUUUCUCUGAGUGAGUUCCUACCCUACUUUUGGGCGUUCCCCAUUGGGUUACCUCCUUCAACCUUUUGUUGAUGAGACAUUAUCCUCAGCUAAAUCAAAACAUUGUUUCUCCAAACACUUACCUGGUUUCGCGUUGAGCGUCCGUCAACGAGUUGUUUCAUGUAACCUUUUGUUGACAAAAACUACAUCUCCCCAGAGAAUAUUUGUUAUGCAACCUUUUGUUGUCGAUACCCUGAGCAAAUCUUACCCAGCAAUGUAACUACAUCUCCCCAGAGAAUAUUUGUUAUGCAACCUUUUGUUGUCGAUACCCUGAGCAAAUCUUACCCAGCAAUGUUCCAACAUUACCCAACAAAUCGGGUUUACUGAACUUUGACAGUAGCCUUAUAUUUCCAAUAUUUUUCUCACUAUCAUCCUUUUGGUGAAAGUCCAUUGAGGAACAAUAUUGAUCAUCGUCCUGUUUACGAUCACCGUUAUCUUUUUGGUAAUGGUAAAUCCUUGACAUUUGUGAUCUUACUGUCAUCCUUUUGAUGUCGAAGAUCCUUGGAGUUUUGGUCCAACCUUCAUCCUUUUGGUGAAUAGGCGACCUCUACAAUUAUUACAGCCUACCGUCAUCCUUUUGGUGUUGGCGAUCCUUAUGGUGAUAAGGAUCCUUGUCAUUUUGGUUCAAUCAUCAUCCUUUUGGUGAUGACGUCCAGUUCAAUCUAAAUAUCAUCCUUUUGGUGAUAGAGACUAUGAAGUUUGGUUUAAGCUAUCAUCCUUUUGAUGAUGGUGACAUUUGGAAAGUCCAUUCCCACUGUCAUCCUUUUGGUAUCAGCAAUAUUUGAAGUUAUUAUAACUUAUUAUCAUCCUUUUGGUGGUAACAAGUUUUGAAGUUAUGAUCUCACCUUGAUCCUUUUGGUGAUGGUGAUUGUGGAUUCAUUAUCAUCCUUUUGGUGAUAACGAGUUCUGUUGUUUGUAGUACCUUCAUCCUUUUGGUGAUGGUGACUAUUGACUUAUUAUCAUCCUUUUGGUGAUAACAAGUUUUGUUGAUUGGUCUUACCUUCAUCCUUUUGGUGACGGUAACCAUUUGAGUUAUGGGCUCAUUAUCAUCCUUUUGGUGAUAACAAGUUUUGUUUUGAUCUUACCCUCAUCCUUUUGGUGAUGGCAAUCAUUGAGUCUGUUUCAGCUUAUUAUCAUCCUUUUGGUAAUAACAAGUUUUGAAGUUCUGUCCUUAUUAUCAUCCUUUUGGUGAUAACAAGUUCGGUUGGUUUGAUCUUACUGUCAUCCUUUUGGUGUUAGUGAUAUUUACAGUUCAACUUAUUAUCAUCCUUUUGGUGAUAACAAGUUCGUUGUGUGACUAUACCUUCACCCUUUUGGUGAGGGUGAUCCUUGAAAUUGAUGAGUCAACUAUCAUCCUUUUGGUGAUAGCCUUGAUACUAUACUCUCAGUAAUGGGAAACUUUAUCAGAAUAAACAUCAUCCUUUUGGUGACGAACAUCAUCCUUUUGGUAUUGGAAUUUUUUGAAUUGAUCUUACCGUCAUCCUUUUGGUGAUGGCGAUCUUUGUUAUAGCAACUGUAACCAUCAUCCUUUUGGUGAUGACUACUUUUGAAUUUUAGUUUAUCCAUCAUCCUUUUGGUGAUGACGAUCCUGACAAUCAUGGUGAAUUCCUAUCAUCCUUUUGGUGAUGGUAAUUAAUUUUACUGUCAUUCUUUUGGUUCCAGAGAACCCGUUCGGUUUCCGCUCUCACAUCAGAAACGAACUUUGCAAGACUUGAAUGUCGACUCGAGGGUUGACAUUGAUUUGACAUUCUACCCUUAUCACCUUGGUGCUGUUAGAAUCCAUUGCAUUUUCCGUCCGCAUUUCUCCAUUGCAUCCCAAAGGACAAAAUUUGAGUAUUUUCGUAUUUAAUUACCUUCCACCAUGAAUGUAUGAAGACCGUUGUCAUUCUUACUUUCUAGUUCAAGAUAAUUAAAUAGGGGCAGCUGUCAUACCCCAAUUUUGUCCGGGCAUAUUCAAAUUUGCAUAGAAAUGAUUUCAUUUUUUAUUUUUUGCAUCAUAUGCAUAGUAUGACAUACAUUGCAUCAUGAAUAAUGCCUAGAAUAUCAGUCAGGAUAAAUUUAUUGAGAAUACAGACCAAUCAGUUGAAUCAUUCCUCAAGAACAGGCAAAAUCAGCAAUGACUGUUUCGGUUAUAUUUUGACCUGUCUGAGCCUUUUAACUGGUGCAAAAUUUAUUUCAGAAUUUGAAGAAACGAUGUAUUUUUUCAAUAAGUAUAUUUGGUGCUGAUUAUUUUAGUGUGUCCGAUUUAAUUUUUCAAGUAAGUUUAUAUCCAAUUUCUAUUUUUUUAAUCAGGUCAUUUUAUUUAUUUAUUCAAAAUAUAUUGACCUUACCUUCAUCCUUUUGGUGAUGGUGAUUGUCGACUUAUUAUCGUCCUUUUGGCGAUAACAAGUUUUGUCUUUUAAUUAUACCUUCAUCCUUUUGGUGAUGGUGAUUGUUGACUUAUUAUCGUCCUUUUGGCGAUAACGAGUUUUGUUUUGAUCUUACCCUCAUCCUUUUGGUGAUGGUGAUCAAUUGCGUUGUGUGCUUAUUAUCAUCCUUUUGGUGGUAACAAGUUUAAUCGUUUGACUUUACCUUCAUCCUUUUGGUGAUGGUGAUUGUUGACUUAUUAUCAUCCUUUUGGUGAUAACAAGUUUUUGUCUUGAUCUUACCUUCAUCCUUUUGGUGAUGGUGAUCAAUUGAGUUGUGUGCUUAUUAUCAUCCUUUUUGUGCUAACAAGUUUUGUUGUUAACUUUACCUUCAUCCUUUUGGUGAUGGUGAUCGUUGACUUAUUAUCAUCCUUUUGGUGAUAACAAGUUUGUUGUGUGACUUUACCUUCAUCCUUUUGGUGAUGGUGAUCAUUGAAGUUAUUUGACUUAUUAUCAUCCUUUUGGUGAUAACAAGUAUUGUUGCUGGAUCUUACCCGCAUCCUUUUGGUGACGGUGAUCUUUGAAGUUGAUGAGUCAACUAUCAUCCUUUUGGUGAUAGCUUUAAUAUUAUACUCUCGGUAAUGGGAAACUUUAUCCGAAUAACCAUCAUCAUUUUGGUGAUGGACAUCAUCCUUUUGGUGAUGGGAAUCUUUGGAUUUUAUUGUGUCUAGCUUUCGUCCUUUUGGUGAUAGCGAGACUUAUUAUUGAUCUUACCAUCAUCCCUUUGGUGAUGGCGAUCUUUGUUGUAGCCAAAGUAACCAUCAUCCUUUUGGUGAUGACUACUUUUGAAGCUCGGUUUUAUCCAUCAUCCUUUUGGUGAUGACGAUCCUGGAAAUCAUGGUGAAUUUCCAUCAUCCUUUUGGUGAUGGAAAUUCAUUCCACUGUCAUCCUUUUGGUGCCAGAGAACAUGUACAGUUUUGUCUUUACAUUAAAAACAACCUGUGCAAGAUUUGAAUGUCGAUUCGAGCGUUGGCAUUGAUUUGGCAUUCUACCCCUAUUACCUUGGUGCUGUUAGAAUCCAUUGCAUUUUUCGUCUGCAUUUCUCCAUUGCAUCCCAAAGGACAAAAUUUGAGUCUUUUCGUAUUUAAUUACCUUCCACCACGAAUGUAUGAAGACCGUUGUCAUUCUUACUUUCUAGUUCAAGAUAAUUAAAUAGGGGCAACUGUUAUACCCCAAUUUUGUCCGGGCAUAUUUAAAUUUUCAUAGGAUUGAUUUCAUUUUUAUUUCCGCAUCAUAUGCAUAGCAUGACAUACAUUGCAUCAUGAAUAAUACCUAAAAUGUCAGUCAGAAUGAAUUUAUUGAAAAUACAGACCAAUCAGUUGAAUCAUUUCUCAAGAACAGGCAAAAUCAGCAAUGACUGUUUCGGGUAUAUCUUGACCCGCUUGAGCCUUUUAACCGAUACAAAAUUAUUUCAGAAUUUGAGGAAAGACUGUAUUUUUUUAAUAAGUAUGUUUUGUCCUGACGAUUUUAGUAUGACCGGUUUAAUUUUCCGAACAAAUUUAUACUCGAUUUCUAUUUGUAAUUAAUCAAUAAUCUUUGAUUUAGUUAUUCAAUUAAAACAAUUAAAAGUUAUUUAAAUCAAAUAUUAAUUAUAUUUUUCUUUUUAUGAUUUUAUUCUUUUUAAAUAAAUAACAAGUGUAAAAAUAAAAUAUAUUUUACAUUGAAUUCUCAUCAAUUGCUCACACACACACCACGCGUCCCUCUCACUCAUUCACUCAUCCCUCACAAAAUAACCACCCGUUUCCACGUGUCACCCCCUCUCCUCGCCACACACUACCUCACACUCUCUCUCAAAUCUGAAAAAGAUCUCACACUCAUCAUCUCUCUCCCCGACGGAUUAUCCUCACUACAUCUACCACCUAUUACCAUUCUCUCAUCUCCCUCAUCACUCACCUACAACUACUACACUCGAAUACUCUCUCAUCUGAAAAAGAUCUCACACUCAUCAUCUCUCUCCCCGACGGAUUAUCCUCACUACAUCUACCACCUAUUACCAUUCUCUCAUCUCCCUCAUCACUCACCUACAACUACUACACUCGAAUACUCUCUCAAAAAUACCUCACGCCUACCCUCUCAGCGCUGACAACUCACCUUCAUCUUCUGUCACACUCUCCGCCACCUUCACCGUAAACCCCGUACUCACCUCCACACAAACAACCGUCAUCGCUUUCACAAACCGUUGGCCACGAUUCACCAUCCUCCAUCUCUUCACCACCACCAAACCCCUUCAUCCGCCGGUAAUCCCCUCGCCGCUUCUCCAUCAAGAUCCAAUCACUGCCGGCGAAUACAACCUCCUACCCACCUCCACAAAAUCUCCACAUGCGCCGCCAUAAACCCAACUCAAAUCCACUCUCUUCCUCCUUCUUCGCUCUUCACCUCCGUCUCAUCAUCGCUUCCCUCCUUAUCAAGAACUCUUGACCCAACAGGAACCCUCGCGUCUCACCGCCACCCAAGAAACCCACUUUUCUUCAACAACCAACACCGCCACCAUCAAAAUCCCUCCGUCGUGACAUUUCUGACAAAACGUCCAACCCUUCAAAACCCAAACGAUGCUUACAACGGCUUGACAUUACAUGGAUGAUUUAUCCAGCAACGAUUACACUCGUGGCCUCGGUUGUGGUUGCAAGUUAUAGAUCCACUCGUGGAUUCUGUAAUAAGAGAGGAGUUUCGACUUUCACAGUUGUUCACCUUUCGUUGGCUCGUGAAAGUGGUUUUAGGAGGUAGCCUUUGGUCAUUUUGAUGCGGUUCUGGCUCGGAUUCAAGCAACUCGCGACCAACUAACAUCACCAAGCCAUCCGCCGAAGUCCUCAACGGUAAUAAGCAAGACAUCAUCUCAGCAAUAUAAAUCCAACAGCAUAUCAGCAAUUAAAUUCAUCGGUAUUUUGCCCCUUUUGAUUUUGGUUGGUUUUUUCUAUUUUUCGACUGUGCUUAAUUAUCAUUUUGAUAUGGUGAAAUUGUCGCUUCGAGUUUGCUGUUUUGGGUGCAUCUGCAUAUUGUUUUUAUGUUGACUAUUUUGAAAAGAGUACAUGUAUUAAUUUUCUGUCAUGAAUGUUUAGCUAGCAUAUCAGUGUUAGAGUUAUGUGAUUUUGUUAUGAACUUCCGGAUUAGAUUUCGGGUCUGUUUAAUUGCUUCUAUUAUAUCUCAUAUGAAGCAUUAUGCUGGAACUUAUUAUGCCGGAACUUGUUUGUAUAUAGAGUUUAAUCAAUAAUUAAGGAUUAGUUUAGAGUUUAAAAGGUACUAUAACGAAUCCAUGUUCAUGCUAGAGAUUCAUCAUAAGCUGCAGAUUCAUCAUAAGCUGCUAGAAGUUUCAUUUCAAAAUAGUUUGAACUAAACAUGUCUUUGAAAAAUUCAGAAUAUUUGGUUAUUACAUGAAAGUUACCCCUGUUUUUGGCAUAAUUGAGUGUCAUGACUUCAAAUGAGUGUGUGUUCGGGCCCAACCCAAUGUGAUUUAGGUUUCCAUUAACUUUUACUACCAUUUUUACUAUUAAUUCUAAUUAUAGUAUAAUGUAAAUACUACUUGAUCCUAUUGCGGUAAUUAUGUUUAAUCAGAUUUAUUUUUACGGAUUCGAUAUUCCAUGUCGUCAUGCCGCCCAAAUGCCAAUACAUCAAAAGCAUAUUUUCGCCGCGUUUGGAUUUUUCGAAUAACAUUAAUCAUUGUUAUCUCGCACAAACCGGUUUGAGCACACCGAUUCAAUUUUAAUAAAUCAAUAUUGUCACUUAUUCUCAUUUGUUUUUUAAAUAACAAUUAAUUGAACUUUUGUUUGAUUAAUUCAUUUUAUUUUAAUGAACCUGUUUAACCAAAUUCUGACGAGUUAAUAAUUGAAGGAUUUUCUUUUCCAUCAUCAUUUCAUAGUCACUUUCAAUUUUAUUUCAAUUCACCAUCUAUCCAAACCAAUUUCAAAAAGCACAAAUCAUACAAUUCUCGAUUUAACAUCGAGCCCAUUUUUAAAACACCCUUGUAAGUCGAUCGCUUUUAUGCAUCGCCAUCAACCUCACAUAGCUUACUCUUGGGCUUUCUUACAAUGAAACCUACUUGGUUAUUGAUUAAUCGAGUAGAUGAAUAAUACACUAAAUAAAAUUCGUUUCAUUCAUAAACACGAAUUCGAACCACUUUUCAAACCACUCAAUUUCAAAAGAAUUUUCUCUUUUAAACAUAAACUUGGGAUGAAAAGGAGAUAGGAAGCGUACGCUUCAAUAUUUCUCAAGCACUUGAAUAAUUGGCGUACGCCAUAUUGCUCGAGUUCUUGUCACCCGAUUAAACCUUAAUCAUACACAUUCAAAUCACAUUUUCUAAAUCAAUUUCUACAAAUUCCAAAUCCUUUUAAUUCCAUAUUUCAGAUGAUAAGAGGAUAGGAGGCGUAUGCCUCACUAUCUUUCGAUCAUUCGAAUAAUUGGCGUACGCCAUAUUGCUCGAAUUUUCGUCAUCAAUUUAAAAUGCAAUCAAAUAAAUUCAAAUCAACUCUUAGAUCAAAUCCAAUUUCAAAAUAAACUUUAACUUAAACUUCAAUAGAGAAUGGGAGGCGUACGCCUCAUCAUUCCUUGAUUAUUUGAAUAAUUGGCGUAUGCCACAUUGCUCAAAUUAUCGAUCCAAACAACCACAUUUCAAAUCAUUUCUUUUAAAUCAACUACAAAUUUCAAAUUCUAAAUUUCCGACAAUAAGUGGAUAGGAGGCGUACGCCUCACUAUCUUUCGAUUAUUCGAAUAAUUGGCGUACGCCACAUUGCUCGAAUCUUCGUCAUCAAUUUAAAACACAAUCGAAUACAACAUCUAAGGGCAUUUCUUUUUACAAUUUAAACCUCGGGUGAUAAAAGAUGGGAGGCGUUCGCCUCGCCAUCUCUCGAUUAUUUGGAUAAUUGGCGUAUGCCAUAUUGCACAAAUUAUUGACUUCCGACUAAAACACGUUAAAUAAACUUGGAUAAGGGAAUAGGUGGCGUACGCCUCAUUAUUCCUUGAAUAACCAAGUAGGAGGCGUACGCCUCACUACCGUGCAUAUUCAACAUCCGCAAACAAACUUUCAAAAAUAAUUAAAACGAAAAGGGAGUAGAAGGCGUUCGCCUUAUUAUUCCUCGAAAGAAUUGGACGAUUGGUGUACACCAUAUUGCUCAAUCUUUCGCCGUUCUUCAAAAACAUCUCAAACAAAUCAAAUCUAAUUUCUCACCCCGAGCGAUCGAAACCAAACAAAAACACCCAAACACAUCAAUUCAACUUGUCACCCCCGCGUGACCAAAACCCUUUCAAAAGAACACUGUUAAUAAUUUCUAAUGCGCACAACAAACCAGUGCUAGAGCCUCCCCCGAGAGUAGACAUGUCAGUGUUUAGCCAUUAGAACGCCGACCUACACAGUCGUUCAUCAAACAAAACACACCAAAUAUUCGUAGUGGCCCGAACUACGAAUGCUCUGAUUUCCUUAUUGCACCAUAAGGAUACAUAGGCAGGAGAUUGCUGUAUCUUCGCGAGCACACUAAUAAAAAACCUCCCAUUUCCCCCUCCUGAGGUCUUCAUCCAUAUCUAUCAUCAAUUCUAAUCACUCGAAGCAAGCAGAUAAACAGUCAAUUAACAGUCAAAUAGCAAAAUCAGACUAAGAGGUUCCCGUUGAGUACAACGGACGUAAGGGGUGCUAAUACCUUCCCCUUACGUAAUCGACUCCCGAACCCGAAUAUGGUUGCGACGACCAUUAUUCUUAUUUCUAAAGGUUUUCUCGAUAUUUUCCUAUUCCUUCAUUGGAAUGAAUAAAGUUCGGUGGCGACUCUGUUUCGAACUAACAUUUUUCCGCGUUCCAUCGCGAGGGAUCGCAUUAUCACAUUUUUGAGAUGUGACACACACUAGGAGAUCUCUUUUGUUGUUUUCAUGUGGUUUGCAAAUGUGCAGAAGUAGCUCUGGUGACGAGUUUUGUCACACCACAAAUUUAUGAACAUUAUCCUUCAGGCCUUGAACCAUAAGAUAUUUGUAUGGAUUUGAUUCUCCAUAAUAUGGCUGAUAUGGAAGAGUUUUGAAGAAUGAAAUUAAGGUUGAGAUGGAAAAGCUAAAUAGAUAAGGAUGAGCAGUAGAUGACAAACUCUGAAAAGUUGCAUUUGAGGGUUGAAUGAGCCACCAUACACAACAGGUAUUUCGUGAGACGUGUUGUUUUCUGUAGGCAUUGUCUACCAUCUCAAUACUUAUAGUAACGGAUAAAAAGAGGGAAUAUGCUUUAUUCCUUGGGAAAAAUCAAUGGAUAAUCAUAAGACCCAGGAUCCAAAGUGUGGGAGAAACCCUAGUAGCAAUGAAGGUUAUAACAGGAAUGGUGUUGAGAAUUGAAAGAAGGUUCAGACACUGAAAACACUUCAAGAAAAAUAUCUCAUAAAGAAGGAAGGAAAAUUGAACCAGAUUCUGAUGUGCCUCCCACCAUGCUAUUCAUGUAGAAUAUCACUCAGUCAGGCGUGACACAAUUCACCUCUUGUUGGUUAACGACUACAAGAAACAAAAGUGACAUUCUUGGGUUUAUACUUUCUUUUCCUUUUUUCUAGAAAUAUUAAGCUUGAGACCAUGUUUUGAUCUAUUUAUUCUGCUCACUAUGAGCUAAACUUUUUAUGUUUAGCAAUAUGAAGUUUAAUGAAAAAUAACUUUUUUGUGUGAUGUGUUGUGAUUCUAGUGAUAUAUUUUGCCAUAUGUUUUAAUGAUACAUGUUUAUUUCUUUGGUUGAUCAUCUUAGAAUAGACAAAAGUUUAUUAAUGUUGAAGAAUCCUUUGAUAACUUGAAAUCAUGACAAAUAUGGAUAACUAAAGUAAAUAUGAACAUUAUCUACUUGCUUUAGGUAUAAAUAACUAGAAGCAUAUAUAAGAAAUCAGAACUCAACAAAGACAUCCACUUAUGUUAUUUUGAGACUUAGAAAUUUGUUCCAUAGCUGUUUACAGUAUUUAUUAUGUCGUUGUAGGUAUACACUAUUAGAUAACGUUUUGGCCUCAUUUGUCAUGACAUGUUUAGUCACACUAACACACUAGGUGAAACUCAUUAAAUAGAUCCUUACUCAACAUGUUCUCAUCUCUGAUAAAUUUCCUUACCUUUAAAUUAUUAAUAUUAAUUUUGAACAUGUGACAACAACAACUAUUAUUAUUUCCUGCUCUUGACUAUUCAUAACUUUUGACUGUGAGAUCAACUUAAGUUAAUACCAUAUCCAUGGGAUCGAUACAAUUACUUUAAAAACAUGCUACCCACUUUGACUGUGUAUGCAUAUACAAAGAUUCACAACAAGUUUUUGGCGCUAUUAUUAGAGAUUGUAUCAUUAACACUUUAAUUUUCAUUAAAACUUAUUAAGAGUGCAUUUGAGCUUUUGAUGUUUUCUGUCUUCUAGAGUCACAAAAGGUGCAUGACUUCUACAUGCGCAUGUGGUUAAAUCUAGCUUACAAAGGAGACCCUGAACUAGAGAAAAUAUUCAUACUUUUGAAGUGAUACCAGAUUGCAACUCAACAACCAAGAACCCUUAUAUUGAUUCUCUUGUUUGAAGAUCUUGAAGAGGACAUUGAAGGGACACAAAAAGGACAAGAAAAAGUCAUGGAUGAAAAUGACAUCAAGACAUAACCAAUGAUAGAGCGAAAAAUAUAAGAGGCUAUGCUAAUUUUGAUCCAAAUGCCAUGAACGCUGGUACUAUCAGGCUAGAGAUAAUUGUAUCUCAAUUUGGGUUUAAGCCAAUGAUGUUUCAAAUGAUACAAGCCAUUAGCCAAUACUCAAGUGCUGCUAUUGAUGAUCCACAUAUCCAGUUGAGGCAAUUUAUGGAGGUUUCUAGCAAUUUAAAAAUCUAUGGAGUCAGAAACAACACUUUUAGGUUUAAGCUAUUUCCAUAUACUCUCUAAGGAAUAAAGUCAAAAUUUGGUUAAAUUUCUUGGAGCCAUGUUUCAUACCCACAUGGAAUGAUUUAGCAGAGAAUUUCUUAGCCAAAUAUUUUUCUCCUGUCAACAAUGUCAUGAUGAGAAAUGAAAUUACAUCAUUUCGACAAAGGGAAACAUAGUCAUUAUUUGAUGUUUGAGAGAGAUUUAAAGAAUUGUUGAAACAAUUUCCCCACCAUAGAAUACUCAUAUACAUUCAGCUUCAAACCUUCAAUAAUGGAUUAGUUCCAUCUCCAAGAAACAUGUUAGAUGCAUUUUUUGGUGGUGCAUUGUUGUCCAAGUCCUAUAAGAAAAUGUAUGAUUUGAUAGAAAACAUUACUGUCAACACUUAAUAAUGGUCACUCACUAGAGUAUCCAUAACUAUAGUCUUAAUGAAGUCAAUUGGUGUUCAUGAAGUCAUUAAGACUACAACUCUCGCUACUCAAGUGACUCAAAUUCAUCAAAUGAUAAAAAAAAAUGUGUUGAUGUCUUUUGACGUGCCAGCAACUAAACCUAUCAAGGUUGCUGAAGUUGCACGUGUUUAUCGUGAAGAGCCCAUUUGUUUGUAACUAAUGUUAAUAUCUCGAACAAACAAUGUAACAACUUCAUUUAUCUCUUUUCACUUGGGUUGUUGUUGUAAUCUCCAUUAUCAAGCUCAAGUAUUAUUCUUCCAUGUCUCAUUUACAAAAACUGUGUUAAUUUCCAUCUAGCUCAAAGUCCAUGGAUGAACAAUUUGAGACCAUUUAAAGGAUAAAUAUAGAGUUGGUUUCAAGAGACCGUAGAAGAAGAUGACCCUAUACUGAUCUAGAUGACUCCGAAUAAAAUUAGAAACACACUAUAUUCUAGGAAGCAUAAUUUAACAAACAUAAAUGUUUACAUCGUAGUUAUAUUAACUAUAUGUAUUUGGUGUGCAUAUGCAUAAUUUGUUUACUUUAUAAACAACCGAGAAGACUCAAAACAAUUAUAAAAUCUUGAAAACAUUUUCCCCUUAAAUCAUAAAAGUCACGUGUUAAAAAAAAUUUAAUUCAAAAUUUUGUAGUAGAAAAAUAUAUUUUUAAAUAAAAAAAAAUGAAAUUACAUAGGCAUCUCCUUUAAGGAUACAGAUUAGCAUUUUUUUGUUGUUAUUUUUUUUAAAGUAAACAAAGCAUGGUCGAAUAUAUUCUCUGCACAAGUAAAGCAUUAGGCAAAAAACUUCUUUAAGUAAUUUUAAUUUCUCAUGGAAACUGAGAACCAAAACCUAGAAAAUGAGUGUUUAAAAUUCUGAAAAUAUUUUUUAUAUAUUGUAGAUCAACUCUAGUUUGUUGUUAUGGAAACUGUAGAUUGAUUUUAAAGUAAGAAAAUAUGAUUUUUCUUAACAAACCCUGGAUGAAGAAAACAUGAUUAAUAUGCAAAACAUUGGUAUGUAAGAUAAUCUUCAACUUACUCCUUGUUUGUUGAGGAGAAACACAUCCAUGCAUUUAGUUGAAGCAAUAAUACAUUAAAACUUAAUGAAGGUUUUGAUGGGAUAUAUACUUAAUGGAACUCUAAUAUUUUACAAUUAUAUUUUAUUAAAAUAAAUAAAAAUCACUUUCAACUUUAUGUAAAAGCACUUUUUUAAGAAUUCUAUUUUUUCACUUCAUAUUAUCCCAUCACAUUACUUUUAAACUUAUAUUAUUUUUUAUGAGAUCUUAAAUGUACUUGAGUGGGAAUCACACAAACUUGGUCAAAUUGUCACAACUUAAGUAUUACCAACCAAAAGCAUAUUAAAAAUAAGUCAUUGAGUGUUGUUUGGAUUAUUUGUAAUUUAAGUUCAAAUGAUGACUGGUAGUAGGUGAAAAUAAACUCAUGAGGCAUGGAAGUUCAAACUCAAAUUGUUUUUGAAGUGUUGAUUUGCAUGUCAUAUAUACCUAAAGCCACCAACCUAAAUUUUGACACCAACCUAAAUUUGGACACCAACCAUUGAUUGUUACGUUUUACUACUACAAAUCUACAACUAACUCAAAAAGUCAUUUUCAUGAAACAUGUUUUUAUGACAAACCACGUAUAUAGUACAUGACAAGUUGAUAUAUUUUAAUUAAUUUUUCUUCUUGACAAGGUAUAUUUGAAUUUGAACAUUUGACCAUGAUUUCUUUUUAAAAAGUUUAAUUAGACACACAUGUGUUUUAUAUUUAGCUAUUCUUUUAUGAGUUUAAUUUUCCUACAAUUAUGUCACAUGGACUAUUUUCUUAAGUCGCGGGGCGGACUAGAAGGAAUAUAUCUAAAUAUUUUGACACUAAAGUUAAUAAGAGUUUCAUGUGAUGACUAGGUUUAAAAUGAAACAUAUUUUUAGAUGCGAUGAUGUAAGACUUAUAUAUGUAAGACUUAUAUAAGUUAAAAGAUUUGGUAUCAAGUUUGAGUUUAUCUUAAGUUCAUACCACAAUAAUGGUGAAUACAUUGCAAUCAUUUAUACAUUAUAAUUUCAAAAAGUAAUUAUGAAAAAUAAAAUAAAAAUACUAUGCCACAAUUGUAGUUAAUUUACAAUAAUAAUUUAUUUAUAUAUGGAGCAAUUUUUUUAUAAUGUUCUAUACUUAUAAACAAUUCAGGAGUAUGUGAUAUUCUUAUGCAGAUAUGAGAUAUUUAGAGAUCUUAGUAGUUUUAUAACAUUGAGAGUUUGUCUGCGACAGCGAGAGAUACUGUUUGGCGAUGUUUACGAUGGCGAGAGAUUGUCAGUUCACGUAAGGUGAGAGGCUACACUACUACAAAAAGUAUUUUUAACGUCCGAUGUGAAAUUCAUUUUACCUCGACUGCAUUACCAGGGUAACAAAGGGUGUCAUGAAAAGUAACGUUUUAUCACCUCGGUUGUUUAAACACUGAGGGGUAAAUUAAUUUGCACUUGGGUUCAAACUCCAGCAUUUAUAUUUUUAUUAUUAACAAAAUUAGUGUCUCAUACAUCUCGUUUUACAAUAAAAUCGAGGAAUAAGAUAAAUUAUUUUUUUAAAUUAAAAUUCGUUACAUUGUUUACAGAGAAAAUAAAUAAAAAUAAUUUGUUUACAAACUAAAAUGUUUACUCAGAACAUUAAAUUGUUUACACAGAAUAUUAAAAUAAAAAUUAAUUUAUCCUUGAAGAUCAUAUGUUGGAUCUUCGACUCCUUUAUAUUUGGGGAAGAUCAAAUGUUUCAUCUUGCAUCUAUUUACUUAUGUUAUAAAACAAAAAGGGUUAAAAGAAAAGGGCCAGAAAAAUAAAUGAAUUUCUACUCAAAUGAAUAUUUAAAAAUAAAAAUCUUGAACCCAGAUAAUUUUCUGCACUUGCAAUCAAUCAUAGAGAACUCUUAAUGAAAAAAGUUAAAGUGGAGGAUGUAUAUAGUUUCAAGUGUUUCAUGACGUUUUUUUUUAUCAAUUAUAGAUAUCAUAAUGCCUUUAUAAUGGAACUUUUUUAGAUUUUACGCGAAUCACUAAUGGUAAUAUCUUGAACGUUGAUAAUCAUGAAAUGGACAACAAAGAUUUGUUCAAGGAUGGUGAUCAAUUUCUAGAAUUAUCAAGUUAUCCCCUCAAUUUUGUUACAUUGUUUACACUGAAUAUUGAAAAACCAUAAUACAGCCAGACCUGGCCCUGUGCAUGUGCAACAUGUGCUGCAACACAGGGCCUCACAUUUUAUAAAGCCCCAAAAUUUGAAAAAUUUAAAUUUUUUUAUAAAUAUUAAUAAAAAUAAAUAAAAUAUUAUUAAAAAAACUCAAUAAUUGAAAAAACGUUAUGAUAAAAAUUUAAUACAUACAAAAAUUAAGAUUGAUCAAAACUCAAAAUAAUUAUAAUUAAAUUUAUUUUUAAUUAAUAUAUAAUUAUAUUUUUGAUAUAUUUUUUUAAUUAUUAUAAUUGUAUUUUUAAAAAAAUUUAAGCCUAUUUUUUAAAUUAGAACGGAGCCUCCGGUAUGAUUGGAUCGACCCUGAAUACAACAAAAGAAGAAUUUUGAUGUAAGAAGUUAUGUGUUCCAAAUAUUGCAUCCAAUUUCUAGGAGUUAUCUGGUCCAACCAUUGAAUGCAUUCAUCUUCUAGAGGAAUUAUAUGUUCCAACAUUUUGCACUUGCAAUCCAUCAUAGAGAACUUUUUCAAGCUUCUAAAUACAGCAACAACAACAACAUCAACAUCACCAUCAUUUUGUGAGACGGAUCCCAAAAGAAUGAUGCGUUCGAGUUUGGAGCAGCUACAUAUAAGUUAGGAUCAGAGUAAAAUUUGUUUAACGAGUGCUUUUAUACUAAAAUUUGAUUAUCUUAUCCCCCGAUUAUUAAGGAAAUCGACGAGAUAUAUCAUUUAGUUUACAAAAUAAUAAUAAUAAUAAUAAUAAUAAAAAGUGCCUGAAUUGUUUUCCCCCUCGGAAUUUUUGAAUAACCGAGAUAAUAAGCUGAUUGUCCCCUCGAUUUUGUUAAAAACUGAUAUAAUAUGUGGUUUCUAUUCUUAAAAAUAAAUAAAUCAUGACGCGCAUUUGAAUCAUAUUGCUAGAAUAACAAUGAUCGUCCAUAUUAAAAUAUGUAACAUAUCUUUUGAAUUUUCUAGGAGACAUUUGAGCUUCUCUGAUUGUUUCACUUCCUAUUCUCCACUUUAUUUAAACAUUAUUCAUAGUUUCAACGUCUCAUUUCUAACUCUUUGUGUCUUCAAACCUAGUUUCAAAGUUUUUUCGUUUCUUCAAAAAUGUCUUCAACAACCUUAGAUGAAAAUUAGUUUGUUCGUUAUCAAUGAAAAGUUUGUUGAUUUCGACGAUUUGAAAGACAAAGAUUUUGAUCUAAGAAAAACUAUUCCCAAACAAAAGUUUAAUGGUUACUUUGACAUUCUUCAUGGACCCAUCUACAUUAAUCUCGUUAAAGAGUUCUGGUUAAAUGUUUAUGUUGGGUCAUCUGGUCAUUAUGUUAAGUCAAUCCAGUCUUAUGUCAAAGGCUCUCUUAUCACAAUUACUCGGUCACUUAUUGCUAAGACAAUAAACUAUGAAGAGAAAUGUUGUUGUGUUGAACAUUAUAGAUUCAACAAAUUCUACUCAGAUCACCUUCACCUAAUUUAUGCUAACUACGAUAAUCUCAACAAUCCUACUACUCUACUACCAACUGGAAAAGUUUUGUAUCAACUUUUAGUGUCAAAUCUCUGUCCAAGAGAGAAACAAAUGGAAACGCUUACUUGGGAUGGCAAACAUCUCUUGUUAUUCCUUACCAAGAACAUUAGAGUUAAUUUUCAUCUUACCAUUUUUAACUUCUUAAAGAAAAUGAUAAUCAUCUCUAGGGAGGAAAUGACUUUCCUCAUAUCAUAUGGAUGGGUUUUUUCUCAACUUUUCUCUUCAUUAGAGAUAGUUAAUAGUGAUACUAUUGAAGUUGAGUGGAGUCGGAAUUUUGAAUAUGUGGAAUAAUUAUUUGUUGUCUUGUUUUUAAUUAAUGAAAUAUUUAAUUUCAUAUUAUUACCUAUUCGUUUUUAUUAAUAACAAAAAAUUUGAGAAUUACUAAUUAACAAGAAAAAAAAUGAAGAAAAAAAUUAACUAAGAAAAAAAAGAGAAUAUUUAAAGGCGCCGAGUGAGAAAUCACAGAAAAAACCCUUAAAUACACGUAAGGGUGUUCGUUGUGUGGUUUGAAUCGAUUUUGAUAUAAAAAUUCAUCCAAUCUAAUUUAUUCGCAAUUCAUUUUGAUUUGAGAUGAUUGAUUAAAAAAAUCUGAUCCGAUCCAAUUCAAUUUUAAUUGAUUUAAUUUGAAUCAAUUUUUGAAUAUUUAAAUUAUAAAUUAUAUCUUUUAUUAAGAUUAUAAAAUUACUAAUAAAUAUUAUAUUUGAUAUAAUAUAUAACAUAUAGAAUAUUAAAAAUCAAUAAUAUAAAAUAAAAAUAAUUGAUUAUAAUUGAAAUAAAUUAGAUAAUAAAAAUAAAUAAAUUAAACUAAAUUGAUAAUGAUACUAAAAAAAAUAAAAAUUAUUCCAUUUGAAUCGAUUUUAAAAAAUUAAUUAAAAUUUAAUCUGAACGCAACAGUUUUAACAAAAUGAUAUCCAAACGAAUUUAAUAAUAUUUGAUUUUUUUUGUGCUUUUCAAUUUUUUGAAUUUUAACAAAAAUGUUUAUCCACUAAGUUUUUACAUUGCAUAAUAAUAUAAUGAAAGUUGAAGAAAUUUAAGGCCAAACAAAAUCCACACACACCCUGGUAUCAAACUCCAAUGGAUUAUCAUCAAUCACCUUUUCCUCAUUUUUCGUUCCUUUUCUGUUAGCAGCAGUAGCAGCAGAUGAAGAAGAAGAACCAGAAGAAAGAGGAUAUGCAGCUAGUAGAGAUGUAGCAUCCCACUCUUGCAUCCAAAGAAGGUCUGAAAAUAAAAGUAUCAACGAAGCCAUUGCAAAUGAAUUUAGUUGUAUGAUGAAUAUGAAGAUUUGGAAAAGUUAUAUAUAGAGAGAGAGUGAAUGAAUGAAGAUGAUGUGAGUUAAGUAAAGUGGUGACAGAUUCUGUUAGCUGAAACUGCUGUUUCGUUUGCAUAUAACUAAGUAAUAAAAAAAUGAAACGGUGGUUUGUAUUCAAUUCAUUGAAUUGUUGUAGUCGCCGCCGAUUGUUUUCUAUGUCUGUUGUUUGUGACAUGUAUAUGGAAAACUUAAAACCAGGUUUUUAGAGACCAUGGUUUCUAUUUUUCCUAAUUAAUCCUCAAUUUAUGUAUAUUCAUAUCUUGUUGACUCAUGCUAACAAGUGAAACCCCCAAAAGAUAAUUAUAGUCUCAUCUUAGUUUCUAUUUAAUUUUAAAAAAAAAUUCUAUCUUUAACUUUCAUCAACUUAUAAAUAAAAUUAAAAUAAAUAAAUUAAAUUGACUUAAUUUACUUUUUUUUAGAGAUUAAAAAUAACUUCUAUUUUUGUAUGGACUAAAUUGAGUCUAGCAAAUUCUUUUAAAGAAUUAAAAUAAGUGUUGUUAAUAUAUUUUUGUCAAAUAUUUUUUUGGUGGUUUUAGCUCUGCUAAUUCCUGAUUGUUUUGAUUGAUAGUAAUUUUGGUAAAACUAAUUUAUCUGCAAUAUGUUGAAUAAGAUGUCCUAACAUGUGGUUGUGAUAUCUUAUUUGAAAUAGGUUUUUAUCUUGGUAACGUUUGUGGGGUUAACUGGCUACAAAAUAUUCUAGGAAUAUUAUACUUUCCCUUGUGACGUUCGUGGUUAAUAGAUUCUAUUUCCUAAAUGUUAAGACAUUUUAGGAAACUUUUGAUGGAUUACCUAAUGUUGUGCAACUGGUGCUCGUGGAAUACAAGGCUCAAAUCCAAUGCAUUUUAUGGCUAUAAAUAGAAUGUCUCAAAACCUAAUUACUCACGCAGAAGAGAAGAUAGUUGACCGUAUUAGGGUUUGUGUAAUUCGUGAGCCUCUCAAAUAUCAUCAUGAUAUAUGAGUAGGACUACGUUGAUUGGUUGUAAGCAUUGGCAAGCACUCAUAAGCUUUUAAGCAUUGAGUGAUUGUGUGCCCUUGAAGUGUGACUUCUGAAUUUCUUGUAAGUGUUUAAUUAUCACUGCUGUAAUUGAUAGGGAGGUGAGAAGGGUCUCACACCUAGGAGAGUCUUAGGUAAAAGUUAAGCACAGGUAGUGAUUAGGGUGUUAAUUGUAAAUUAGAGAUAGUUUGCAGAAAACCUAUAAACUAAUACUAUUUAGUGAAUUUCCUCCUUGACUUGGUAGCCCUCAGAUGUAAGUGUUGUUGACACCGAACUGGGUUAACAACUUUGUGUGUUCUGUUAUUUUAUGUUCCUCUAUAUGUAAGUUGUCAUAUUAUUGUUCAGAUAUCAAUGUCUUGACAUCUCAUAGAACAUCUGAUAUUUGCAUACCAGAAAUUCAAGCUCAAAGUUUUUCGCUGCUACAGAAGGAUGAACAAUACUCGAAUGUGGUUCUUCAUUUUAGGGUACAUCAUAUUCUUUAAGUGGGAGAUUUUCCGCCGCCAUUGCUAAUUGUUGUUAUCAGCAUCUUUCAUGGAAAUAAAGCUCAAUUUCGUUAAUGGGUUCAGCGAGGUUCCCUUGACUUCGGGUUCUUCGCAUACAACUGAAAACGAGAUAGAUUUAGAAAAUAACAAAGAUAGAAAAUUGGUUCAUUCUAAAAGGUGAAAUAAUAUAAUAAUGAUAUAGAAAAAUUGGUCGCCGACAACUGCGCCAAAAAUUUGGUAAGUCGCAAGCGUGCUUAAAUAUCAAAGUAGUUAUAUAGAGUUAUCGUCCUCAGAGACCAAUAAUCAAGUAUUGUUUUCUAUCAUAACGAUGUUCAUCUAAGACUAUAUAAUAAUUAGUUUGUUUGUGCGAAAAAGGUAAACAUAUUUGAUUUUUAAUAAUAAAAAUAAGAGUCCAAAACUAUGACUUUUAUCAUCCAAUUUCUCUCAUACAAAUUAUCGUAUUGAUUGUAACGAGUUGUGGUUUUUUUUAGAGAAUACUAAAACUAGCACCCACUUUCAUCUGUGCAUCACCAGACUCUAAACUCGCAAUCAAUCUACUUUCGCAACAUGAUUUGCAAGUUUAAAGAUCCUUUAUAAAAUAAAAUUAAUUUUUUAAUUAGCUUAGAGAUGCUUUCAUAAUCUCAAAACCAAUUGCUCGAAUUUCUAAGUCCAAUAUCAUUUAUGCCUUUUCGACGUAUAAACAAUAUCAUUACGUUCCUACUUUCGUAGUGAACAACUUUAAUUUAAAAAUAAAAAUUACAAAAUAAAAUAUAUAUUAUUGUUAUGAUUGAUAUUUAUACAAUUUGCAUGAGGUCUUUCGGUACAGCAGUCCUCGUACUUAUACCAUAAAUUAAACUACUCAGACAUGCCCAUUGAAAACAUGACAUAGACAUACAAAGAAUGCAUUGUAAAAGCGGUAAAAUAAAACCUGAAAUGCAAUGAAUAUAUUUAAAAAUAAGAAUGCUGCAAGAGAAUUUAAAUUCAAAUACAACAACAAAUAAAAUUCAGCGCAACAAAAUAGCAACAAUGAAAAUAAAGAAAAACUUGAAAACUUGCAUAAACUAUUAAAUUUAAAGGUAAUUUUAGUACAAAAAUGCUUGGGUCCUUUUCCCCUAAUAUUACGGUCGAUUUAUAAGCAUAUUUAGACACUAAAUAACUGUUAAGUGCCCUAAUGGACGAGUAAAACUACAAUAAAGUCAGAGGAAAAAUAAUCGAAAAUAAGAAAACGAAGAAUCAAAAAUUGAAAUUUGGGGAGAUGACAAGCAUCAUGGCUAAUGGCAUGUUGUCCGUAAUCUCUUCCGUGAGAUGUUUUUAAAUUCUUGGUAAACCUCUCAUUUCAGUGUUUGAAAUUAUAGAUUGUGUGCCUAAAAUUGACCCUGAUGAAAACUCCACAUUAAAGCCACCCAAUGUAUAUGGAAGUAUUGAGUUGAAAAAUGUUGAUUUUUGUUAUCCUACUUGGCUAAAAUUACUUGCAUUAAGCAAUUUCAAUCUCAAAAUCAGCGGGGGCAAACAAUUGGAGUUAUGGGAGUUUUAGAGUCUGAAAAUUAUAGCACUAUAGUAUCUUUGAUGGAGAGAUAUCAUCAUCUAGUUACUGGCCAAGUUUUAUUGGAAGGGAUGUAUUUAAAAUUGUAUAAUCUAAAAGAUUAGAAGCCACUUUAGUUCGGCUCGAUAGGAAUCAAUUAUCUUCUUAACUACCAUAAGGGAAAACAUCAUAUACACCAGACAUAAAGUCGUGAAAUUGAAAUUAAAGAGGUCGCGAGAAUAGAAAUCGUUAGGAUAGUGUUGAAAAAUGCACAUGUGUGAAAUUUUUUAAAUAUUAGAAGGAGAUUCGUGUAAGAGAAGAAUGAGAUGGAUGAAAUUUGGGCUAGCACUCCAUAUUAAUAGAUAUUACUAUAAAUUAUGUAUAUUUAGGUGCGUCUGAAAAUAUAUUUUGUAAUUCAAAAAAGAAUUUUUGAAUUUUUGAAUUUUCAUACUAUAUUUUUCCACCACUUGGGUGGGAGAAGUAAUCCCCAUAUCUUAUAGUAUGAAAAAAUUAUUGUCAAAUAGAAAAACUAAAAAGAUAUAGAAACUUGAGGCUAGUUUACUUUAGACUGAGAAGUUCCAAUAAAGUUAGUUAGCCCAAAGAAACUCACGUGGCCCUCACAUAUAUAGCCCAAUUUGUUAUAAACAGGCCUUUGCAAUUGGCUUUUUCAAUAAUAGUUUUUUAAAAUCUAUUCAAAUUUUAGUUUUUUGAAAUUUAUGAAUUAUUAAAAACAAAAAGGCUAAACCAUCUUUAAUUUUUUUCAUCUAAAUAUUCUUAACGAGAUCAACUUAUAUCGAUGUUGUAUCAUUCAUUUUUGUGAAUUAUUUAGCUAUGAUAAAUUUGAUCACAAAACUAAAUUUUUGGAUUUAGAUUGUCAUCAAUUAUCAUCUUCUUCUUCAUUAAAUCUGUCCUGUCCUCAUAAGCAGAGCUUUGGAAUGGAAGAAUUGCUACGUUGGGUUUGAUUUUAUGAAUUUUACAGAGUUUGUUAAGGGUACUCCUUUGUGUAAUAGAUUUCUAUAGGGACACAAUUAAGAUUUAAGUCAUAGAAUUUGUACUUACAAUUUGUUUAUGUAGUUUCAUAAAGAAUAAUUUUAUCAUUAAUCUAAAGCUAUUUUCUUGAUAUUUUUCCUAUCUUAAUAAUCCUCCUGUUUAUUGAUAUGUAUUUGUGUAAAUAUUGAGGUGUAAAUUUAUAUUUUGCUUUCAUGUUAUAUUUUUAUUUUUGGAAACAUUUAAAAGAUUGUAAGAAAAAUUGGAUUUAUAAGUUUUUAGGAAUUCAUUGUGAUCUUUGUGUGUUGGACAAAUGUUCAAUGAAAUGAAUAUUGUUAUGAAUUGUGCUUAUAAAUCUAAUAACUUUUUUCAAAAUUUUAAAUAAUUAAUUUUUAAAACUAUUAAUUAAAACAAUUAAUUAUUAAUCUAUUCUAUAAAAAAAUAUUAAUUAAUAAAGUAUUUUAGUCAUCGACAUAUCAUUGAAAAUUGUUUUUUAUCGCAAUCAUCAAUGUCACGUAUGCAAAAGUGAAGGGGAACCACAAAAAUCCAUUGACGGUCAAAAUUAAGGGAUCUGAAUUGCUGGUUUUGUAAUAGGGGAAUCAAUUGUUUAAAACGCCCAAAAUUAUGGGGACCAAAAGUGCAUUUAAGUCUUUUAAAUUUUAAAUAUGCAUUUUCAUCAUAUGUGGCCGACUAAAUUUGUGUUCAAUUAUGCAUCAUCAUCUUCUGCGACGGACUUAGUGAUCGACAUCUAAUUUCUAACUAUAUGCGACGAAUUUAUCGAUAAAUUUCAAAGUUUAAGCUAUGCAUUUUUAUCUUUAUCUUAUGCGACCGAUUUUGCAACCACUUUGGAUUUAAGCUAUGCAUUUUCUUCCUCUUCAUCGUGACGAAAUCAGAGAUAUGAUAUGCUUCUUCAUCUUAGCGACCGAUUUUGAGAUAUGUUUUGAUGGCAUGCACGGUAAUAAAAUUAACAACUUUGAUUAAUAUAAUUGAUGAAAAAAAUUAAUAUCAUCCAUUUUAACUAUUUAAAAGUCCAAUAUAAAAUUCUUAAAAAAAUAAGAAUCAAAUUGAACCUCGAUAAAUAGAUUAAACGAUUAUUUAACCGAACAAAAAUAUGUUCAAGAAUCAGAAAUUUGAGUUUUUCAAAAUAAUUUAGAACAAAGAAUAAUUUAGAAUUUUUCAUAAUGAUUGUGGAAAUAUAAUGAUAGAUUACUUGGAUAUACAAAAUAUGAAUCUAACAUUUGCCUAUGACCAAUGUGUAAAUGAUCUAGUAAUUUUGCAUCCACAAUGAAUUUUAAGUUAUUGAAAAUCUAAAUUAAACCAAAAUUGGCAUGUUAACUUUAUUUUAGAAAUGAUAUUCUUACCUUAAAUAUUUAUAUUGUAUGCAAUCGGUGAAAUAUUAUAAUAAUAAAUAUAUUUAAAAAAUAUAUAAAUUAUUUUUUAUUUUUUUAAUUAAAUGGUAUAGAUAUAAAAUUGUGUGAUUCACUACAAGAAAAUCUAUUUUUAGGGGUAAACCUCUCACUAAUGCAAAAACACCUUCACAAAACAAAAAUUUGUGAGGGAAAAUGUCCCCUAACUAAACUAAACUGGACAUCACAAAUUAUUUGUUAGGGAGUAAACCCCUAGUAAAAUGUCAUCAAAAAAAUUUAGCCUACUGCACUGCAGGCGUAUGAGCAAACUGGUCGCAGAAACGUGUUAGUAUUUUGCUAGGGGAUAAGCCCCUAGCAAACACAUCUAUGUUUUGCUUUUUGUGAAGUGUGUCUGACAUUAAUGAGAGGAUAACCCCCUCGCAAAUGAUUUUAUGCUUUAUUUUUUGUGAGGGGCAUAUCCCCUAGCGCAGUAUGUCAGACAUUAGUGAGGGGUUUAACCUCUAACAAACGCAUAUACAUUUUAGAAUUUAUGAGGGUAUUAACCCCUCGCAAGUUGCUAAUUAUUUGUGGGGACUAACCCCUAGCUAAUGUUUACAAUAUUAUAUAAAAAAUGUUAUAAUUAUAUUAUAAUAAAUAUAAUAAUACCAUUAUAAUAAAUAAAUAUAUUUUUUUAAAUUUUGUAAAAUAAAAUUAAAAAAUAAAACAAUUUAUCAUUAGAAGUGAAAUAAAAAAAAAUUAUAUCCAUAUCCACCAAAAUUAAAAUAAUUCAUGAUUAAAGAUGAAAUAAAAAUAAAAUUUAAAAAUACAUAUUAAAAAUUUCAUAUUUCAACAAAUUUAAUCUUCUUUCUCAUCCUCCUCAUCUCAUCCUUUUCAUAUGUGAGGCCGUAAAUUGUUCACAACUCUGUGCGCGCUCAUUUGCAAUCUGCAUUGCUUCCUCGUAUUUUGUUGUUUUCCUCCUCAAUUCUUCCUCCAUCUCUGCUUGUCUUCUCCUCAUUUCUUCUAUUUUUGCAUUUCUUGUUGUUGCUUUGCGUGGUGCCUGGGUAUGCCCAAAUUUCUCAUAAUUUCUAGCAUAUCAACGGUUAAUAUAGGUGGAUGUGAUGUUCCUUCUCCAUCAGCAAGUCUUAUUCUAAAUAUCAUAUCACGCCGCUUGAUUGUUUUGGCAAUACCCUUUAGUACCAUACACUCUCCCAUUUUUCCUCUUCCCACGAGCAACAUUAUAUCAUGUCCGAAAAUCCAUACUAGGAUCAGUAGGAUAUCCCAGUGGCGGUGGAGGUAACUCAGGAUGCUCUGAUAUAGUAAGGGUAAGUUGUCUAUCAUACCCCUUCUAUAAAAAUAAAUAAAUUAGAUGUUAUCAUAAUUUAAAUAAGUUAGGUACAUAAAAGAAAUAAAUAAAAUGACUAAAUAUAAAUAAAUAAAUAAACUUAAUUGAGUAUUUUUUUAGUAUUCAUCGACAAACUCCCCAUUUUUCUUGAUAUGAGUCUCUAGAUGGAUCUCAUUAAGAAGCGGAUCUCUACCAAACUCGUCACACUAAUUAAUUGAAAUAAUAAGUAAAAAAAUAGUUAGUUUUAAUCUAAAUUUUAAAUAAAAUUUAAGUAAAACAUAAAUAAAUUUAUCAUCUUUCGUGCAAUUUCAGCAACACUAAUAAUGUACGUUGCGUAGUUGCAGCCAUCAACUUCCAAUGGACAAUAAGUUGUUGAAAUACAUCUUCUCCUAUCCAGCAGAGACGUGUUUCUUUCCUUUUCCAAUUAAUUCUAACACGCCUAAGCGUGUCGGAUAAUCGGGCAACACACUUCAAGUCUAAAUUUUCUUUAAUUUAGUACUGAUCUCUAAUAUGUUCCAACAAUAUUUUUCCUACAUUGUUUUAUGAAUUUAAAAAAUAUUAAUUAAAGUAUAAGUCGUUUUUGACUUUUCAUACGUAUUAAGAAAUGUAAUAAUUGUGGUAUAAAAAAGAGAAAUUAUGAAAGGUUUUACAAAAUUGUCUUUCAUUAAUGGUAUUGGAAAAUAUUUAAGGGUAUAAUAAAAAAAAUAACAUUAAUGAUUCAUUGAUAUCAUAAAACGACUUAUAUUGUGGUACAAAAUAUUUUUCCAAAUCGACUUAUAAUAAAAGAAGGCGGUAGUAAAUAUAAAGGACAAAAUAUUAUAUUUGAAAUAUAAUUUAUUUUCGAAAUAGAAACAAUAUUAUUUCAAAAUAUAUUUUCAAAAUAAAAUAAAAAGUAUACUAUUUUUAUUAUAUAAUUUAUACUAUUUUCAAAAUAUAAUUUAUUUUUUAAAUAAAAAAAUUAUUAUUUUAAAAUAUUUUAUGCUAUUAUUUUUGAAAUAAAAUAAUAUUUUUAUCAUGUUUUUUUAUUUUGUCUAAAAUAAAUUAUAUUAUCUAUUUUUAAUUCAGAUUUUUUUAUAUAAUUAUAUAUUUCUAUUUAAAAAAAAACUAUUUCUCCCUAUUUAAACAAAAAAUAAUUAAACACAUACAAAUUGAAUAUUAAACAACACCUAACAUCAAUAAAUAUAAGUAUAAAAUUUACACCUAAAUUUUUUUACAGUAAAUAUAAGUAAAAAAUAGAGAAAAAUAUGUACCUUGGAUAAACAAAAUUUACAGUAAACUUUUAACUUUCAAUCUGCCAAAUUUGAUAUCUUUAGAUAAUGAAAUUGGUAUAUAAAAACAAAAAAUAAAAGAUAAUAACAAUCAUUAAAUAUUUAAUAUAAACUAAAAAAUAAAAAUUAAACAAAAAACAAGUAUAAGUCAAUAAAAUAUUUACCUUUAAUAAGUUGAAAUUUUGAAGACGAGAGGAAGAGAAAUAUUAGCGAAUGAAAGUUAGAGGAAGAAGAGAAAUGAAAAAAUAUCAGAUGAGAACAAAAAGGAGAGUUGAGAGAGAAAUGACUGAAGCUGCGAAAGGGCUCCCCACGCUACUAUACAGACAGAUUUAGCUGGGGAAACCUCUCUCAAAAUCACCUAACACUAAUUAAAGUUUUUAACUGUACUGGCACGUGAAGGCAGUGAUGGGACUUGGCUAAGUGAAUUUUGUUGGCUACGGUAGGAGGAGGGGCGGUUGGUGUUGAAUGAUUGUUGGGUGUUCUGGCUUAUGCGACUUUGGUAGGGUGAUGGGGUGGGUGCGAAGCGAUGUUGAGUCUUAGGUUGAUGGUCAAUUUGUUGGUGGUGGUAUGGGGUAUGCUCUUGGUAUUGGGGUUGGAUGUAUGGAAUGUUUUGGUUGUAUGUUUGUGUGUUGGUUGAACAGAACGUUUGACAGACAGGGGGUUGUGUGUAUCCGGUCUGACACUGUUGUUGGGGGUUUGAUGUUGAGGUGUCAGGUGUGUAAGUCAUCUGGAAUGGGUCGUACAAGUACAUAUCCUCGGCGAUGAACUGAAAACCAACCGAUCUCUACCAAGCCAUAUAAGUACGAAUUGGUUUUUCUUCAGUUGGCAUGACUGCGUUAGUUAACACAUGGUCACGACGGUGCUUCCAUUUGCGACACUCCGAUCUUGCGAAGCUUUGCCAUGGAUUGAGGUUCCAUUGGUCGUUAACUUUGCGCAAAUGCCAUUCUCCUAGGCUAGCUGGGGGAUCUGAGAUAUUUUGGGGCAUACCGAACUGCAGCUUCACACGAUCACUGUUGUGCAUCUCCACAGUUGUGAACCGUAUUAUCGGUGUGCAUGCAGUCCAUACGGCUGCAUCUUCAGCGUUGACUUGAUGGUCAUGAUCCAUAUUAAGGUAUGGACGCCAAAUAAACUGAAAUGUAAAAGAAGAUUGGAUUAUAGUCAAGGUAGAAGAAGUUAACAAAAUAUAACGAAAUAAUUAAGUUAUUUUCCUUACGUCUGUCGGUCGAAGGUGAUUCCAACAGAGUUGCGAUACUGGUAGUAAUACAGUGUCUUAGACAUCUGUUGUAACUCAUACCACGUGCAGACCAUCUACACGAAAAAGUCAAAAAAUAUUAGUAAAGGUAAUAAUCUUAAGAAGUAAGUAAAGAUAUAGCAAUUUAAAACAACUUACUUUUGUGCAUACGGAAAUGUGAAAGGGUUGUGUUGGACGGGUGCUAGGGACGGUAGUCUUGACCAACCCCAUGCUUGUAGCAAAACACAGCACAUCCAGAAAAUAUAGAUGUGUCUUUGUGUGAUGUUUUUGCCACAAGAAGCUAUAGAGAUAGGCUAGACAAGCAGAUCCCCAACUGUAACUUCCAUUCUAUCUACAUGUCUAAGUAAAGGUAAUCAUAAUAUGCAUGCUAGAACCACUACCUUCGGGAAAUAAAAACGACGCAAUUACAGCAUAAUGUAACACCUAUUUUUAUUAUUGAGCAUCUUCGGUAGAAUGCUCAUUCUAAGUAUAAACUAUUAUAGUACGACUUAAGGGUGAAAGUAGUAUACCUGACCUCUUGCGUUUCAUCUAACAAAUCAGUCUCAAGCAGAUCCAUGCAAUUGAAUUCGCAUAGUUGGUUUACCAUUAACAGCCUUACCUUCAUGGGUAGUCUCAAAAGCAUGUAGACGUCUUCUAACGUCACGGUACACUCACCGUUGGGAACCAAAAUGUGUGUGUCUCUCGUCUCCAUCUUUCACAUAAAGCUAGAAUGAAUUGUUAUCUACGCGACCAAGACAAAAUCUUUGUUUAUAUGACCAAAACCGGUGGGUUCAACAUAAGGUUGAAUCAUCGGGUCCAUAUGGGACAUAUUCGUGGACCGGGAGUUCGGACCUUGAUACAUUCCCUAUGAAAAGAAGAACAAAAACCUUGGCCUAAAGUUGGUAUGUUAAAUAAAAGGGGGUUGUUAGAAGCAUGAAAGAUAAAAAGUUAACAAAAGAAAAAACUUACAUAUUGUUGCCGAUGUUUGCAACCGUUCCUCUAUGUGAUUCGCUCUUGUGAGGAUAGCUUUUGUCGCAGGGGUGGUGUAGAGAAAUACAAACUUUGCAGAGCAAAGUAUGAGAUGAAAGUAUGAGAAGAAAGUAGUGAAUGAUGGUUGGUAAGAGUGUUGAUGGGAUGCAAUGUAUUUAUAGCGAAAAUGGAUCGGAGCAUGAAAAGUUGUCCGCUCUUGCAUGGCGGCGGUUGUCUCCACUUGAAUUGCGAUCAUGUACAACCUUUAGAGGGGUCGCCAUUAAACUAUGGCGCCUCCAUAGGACAUGCAAUGCAAGACCUAGUCUUGAUCUGCUUGUUCUCGAGUGUUCGAUGGCAUGCUUUGACAAUGGCUGUCUCCACUUGAAAUUGGCGCCCAUGUGAAGGGAAUGCAUGUGCGGGCGCCAAUUCAUUUGAAGUUGGUGUCUAGCCUAUGUUCGACACGUGGUUGUCCUCUCUCUUGCAUUUGAAUUGUCAUUCUUAGUUGCUCUGCAUUCGUUGACACAUCAUUUCGCGAGUAGCUUGCAUGUGUCGACAACGCUCACUUCGGAGUAGCUUGCAUGUGCGACACGUCACUUCGAACUAGCUAGCAUGUGACAGACACUUCACUCCUCUAUUUUUAGGUCUUACUAUCAACAUCCAAGACACUUCACACACAUUCAUCUGCAGUUAAGAAAAAUAGUUUUCAUUGCACAAUGUCAUCUUCAUCAUUAAUUACAGCUGUCACGUUUCAACUGCAACGAUGAAAAACAUACGAGUCUGAGCUUAUGGUUUUUCUGUUUUCGAAAACACCGAUACCAUUAGACUCACGAUCAAGAGAAAUGCAACCUUCUUGCAUUUGAAAAAAAGAAUACAAUCCUGUAUAGGAUCGGGUAUUGUGUCAAAGAUCACAUAUCAAAAUCCAAUAUUUUUUAGAAUAGUCAGUGCAAGUAUUUCCCCCUUAAGGUACGAGACGAUGAAGAUGUUGAAUACAUGUUUGUUAGUCAUGAACAUUCAGGCUGCAACUGUAUUGAGUUAUACAUUACUCUUCAACCAUGUAUACCAUCUUAACAGUCUCAACUAACCAGUCAGGAUGAAUCUGGUGAAUUUGAUCCACAAUGGUCAGAUGACGUCAACCCAGAAGCAGAAGCAGAAGUGGCGUCGUUGAUGAAGAAGAAGAGGAGACCGAGAUACAGGUUGAUCACAUGCUGAACAACGACGAUGAAGAUGAUGAUCAACCACCACUAAUACCUCCUAGUCAUGUCUACAAGCCGCCUUAACAUAUGACAAAUAUGGAUCUGCACGACGAUGAAACAUCCAACAGUGUUUUCUAUAAUCCGUAUCCGACAUCAGAAGGCGAAUUAAAGGUGGGAGAUAUGUUUCGUACCAAAGAAGAAUGUGUUCUGGCUAUCAAAAAAUUCCAUAUGAACAACUCUGCUGAUUUUACAGUGAAACGCACUGAUUCUAGAAGGUAUAUUAUCGAAUGUCGUAACAUGCUUUGUAAGUUUCGUUUGACUGCGUCUUACAAGAAGAAAAACGACUCUUGGGAGAUCGCUUCAAUAGACCCACCUCACAGUUGCAUUGCAACUAACGAUGAAAAAGAUCACCGUAAACUAAGUGCAGCGUUGAUAUGUCAAGACAUUCUACCGUUGGUUAAUAAAGACCCAUCAGUGAUGGUGAGUAUAAUCAUAUUCCAUAUCAGAACAACAUAUAAUUAUAAUCCAUCUUACAAUAAAGCCUGGAUUGCGAGGACAAAGGUUGUUGAACAAGUUUUCGGAAACUGGGAGGAUUCAUACAAGGAAUUGCCAUGGUUUUUAUGGGCACUAAAAAAAUAUGUCCCAAGAAUUGUGGCAAUUAUGGAGACAUUGCCAGCGAUGAUGCCAGACGGAACCUGUGCUAUAGGUAAUAGAAUCUUUCACCGUCUCUUUUGGGCAUUUGACCCGUGCAUCAAAGGUUUCGUAUUCUGCAAACCUAUUAUUCAAAUUGAUGGCACUUGGUUAUACGAAAAAUACAAGGGUACUUUGCUCAUGGCGGUUGCACAAGACGACAACAAUAAUGUCUUUCCCAUUGCCUUUGCUCUUGUUGAAGGUGAAACGACUGGUGGAUGGGGUUUCUUUCUUCGACAUCUCAGAACGCAUGUGGCUCCACAAGCCAAUCUCUGUUUGAUUUCUGAUAGACAUGACUCUUGUUGAAGGUGAAACGACUGGUGGAUGGGGUUUCUUUCUUCGACAUCUCAGAACGCAUGUGGCUCCACAAGCCAAUCUCUGUUUGAUUUCUGAUAGACAUGUUGCCAUUGAGAGUGCCUACAAUAACCAUGACAACGGAUGGCAUGAUCCUCCUUCUACCUAUGUCUAUUGCAUCAGACACAUUGCACAAAACUUCAUGUGUGCUAUAAAAGAUAAGAAUCUUCGCAAGAAGGUGGUGAAUGAUGGGUAUGCUCUAACUCAGCCGUCAUUUCAAUAUUAUCGUGAUGAAAUUAGACUGUCUAAUGAAGACGCAGGGAGAUGGCUAAAUAACAUAUCAGUAGAGCAGUGGAAAAGGGCAUUUGACAGAGGUUGUUGAUGGGGCCACAUGACAACAAACCUUGUGGAAUGCAUGAACGGGGUAUUCAAAGGAAUUCGAAAUCUGCCGAUAACCGCCUUGGUAAGAUCAACCUAGUAUAGGUUGGCUUCUACGUUCGCAACCAGAGGUGAAAGAUGGAGUGUUGUGUUAAUGUCCGGGCAAGUAUUCAGUGAGUGUUGCAUGAAGGUCAUGAAAGAGGAGAGCAUCAAAGCUAGCACACACGCUGUAAUAGUCUUUGACCGUCAUAGGCAAAAUUUCAGCGUCUAGGAAACAAUGGACCACAACGAGGGGAGACCAAAUUUAGCCUACGCUGUUAGACUAAACAGAAGUUGGUGCGAUUGUGGAAAAUUCCAGGACUUCUGCAUACCUUGCUCCCAUGUCAUUGCAGCAUGCGCUUAUACUCGUCAAGAUGCUUAUAGCCACUUAUCUGAUGUGUACAAGGCCGACACCGUCAUGAAUGUAUAUAAUCAAAGCUUCUCGGUACUACCAAUGGAGGAUUAUUGGCCUCCAUAUGAAGGUGAUAUUGUUUGGCACAAUGACGAGAUGCGUAGAAAGAAAAAAGGAAGGCCAAACAGCACACGUAUCAGAACAGAGAUGGAUUCCACGGAUAAAAUUAUAAGAUUAUGUAAUAUCUGUUGUCAACCAGGAAACAACAAGAACAAUUGUCCCAAUCGAGGAACAUCAUCUAGGUCUUAAGCUUUUUGUAACAUUGUAUUUCUGUAACCUUCAAUCAUUAUAUAUCAUUAAGUUUUUGUUACAACGAGGUUCACAACAAACAUCAGUACAAAAUAAGCUAUCUGAAAACAGAAAUAUUUCUAACUGAUUACAAUAAUCAAAUUGAUGUUGUCUUGACCGAACAUCAUUUCCCUAACAUCCUUAUCAGUCUUCAUUCGCACCCAACCAAAGAUACUGUCAAGUCUCUCAAUACUUCUAAUUUUUUCCCCUUCUGGUAUUUUCCCAUCUAACCAACGAACCAACUCCCUCUUCAGUUGAUCGAACGUAGUGAUGUUUCAGAACAACAUCAACAUCUGAGGUUUGUCUCUCGCAUAAAUCACCUUACCGUAUCGGCGACGAACACUAAACAUGAUUGCCAAAUGACUAUUUGAGAUGUGGAACAAUUACUCACACAACGCAUCUAUUUAUAACACAAAAAUUGCAUUUUACACUGAGGCUCCAAUUGAAUUGGCGUCUCCUCUUAAAUCCUACACAGGGGCGUCAAUCCAAUUGGCUAGGGCACCUGCCCUAGCCAAUCCAAUUGACGUCUCCAUUCAAUUUUUAAGAGGAGACUCCGAUUCAAUUGACGACUCCUCCUAAAAGUGGGAUAGUUUGAGAAUUUUUUUAAAACCAGGGGUAUUUUGGGAAUUUCCUUUAAAAAGUGGAUUAUUUUUAUAAAAAUUUCGUAAUUCUAAAUUUCAAAAUUUAAAAUCCUGUGCAUUUAGUGAUGGAUGAUUCCUUUAACAAAUUCCCCUAACGAAACAAACUUUUUCUUAUAGUGAUUAAUCUCCUUUAUAAUUUUAUUAAUUAAUAUUUUAGAUUUUAUUAAUCUAUUUUAUUUUAAUUAAAAAUUAUUUUUUAUAUCUACCCCUUUAUUAAUCAACAUCAUAUUUUAUUAAUUAAUUUUUUUAUUUUUUAUUAAUCAACUUUAUAUUUUUAUUAAAAAAAAAUAAUAUCAGAGUGGUUAUUAAUCAAUUUUAUAAUUUUAUUAACCAAAUUUUUAUAUUUUAUUAAUUUUUAUUUCACUAUUAAAAAUCAUUGUUCAUGUUGGUGUACCGAUUUUAUAUUUGGUGUAAAUAUUGAGUUCAAAUUUAUAUGAAAACUUUACUAAAAUUAACUAACAUGUCCAAUAACUUAUUUGAUAAUCCAAUGGAAUGUAGCAAAAGGAAGAUGAUAAUGAUUAAGGAAUACAAAUAUCAUACUGUAAUAUUUCAUAAAGAAAAAGUAAAAAAAUCAAGGUUGACUCUUUUAUAUGAAAGUAGAUAUUACUGAGAUUUACAACACUUACACAGACCACAUAUGAUCAUUUGCUAAAAAUUUCAUCUCCUAAUAAUAAAUUUGAAAAAUAAAAUUAAACAUAAUGAUAUGAAGAGUAAUAGUUUAGACACUAAGUUUUUAAUUACAAUAUAUUAGUAAUGAAAGUUGAAGAAGUUUAAGGCCAAACAAAAUCCACGCAUACCCUGGAUUCAAAUUCCAAUGGAUUAUUCUCAAUCACAGUUUCCUCAUCUUUCAAAGUUUUUCUCUGAGCAGCAGGAGUCGAUGAAGAAGAAAGAGAAGAUGGAGGAUAUGUGGCUAAUAGAGCUGUAGCAUCCCACUCUUGCAUCCAAAGAAGGUCUGAAAAUAAAAGUAUCAACGAAGCCAUUGCAAAUCAAUUUCCAGAUUAAUUGUAUGAUGAUGAAUUUGAAGUUGAUGGUUAAUAUGAAAAUUCUCAAAGUUAUAUAUAAUUGAAAUGAGUUGAGUAAAGUGGUCAUAGAUUAUGACUUUUCUGUUUGCUGGUACUGCUGUUUAUUGUUGCGGUCGCCGCUGUUUUUUUCCUAUGCAUGUUGUCGCCAUCUGUAUUGUUUAGGGAUAUUGAAAACCACUUAUAGGACCGUGGUUUCUAUUUUGCCUAACCAAUCCCUUAUUAAUUUUAUAUUACGGCACACCCAAUAAAUCUAAAGAUUAUUUUAAGGAAAAAAUUUUAAAUUGAAAAUUUCUAAAAUAUACUUUAUAUUACUUUUUUUUCUAAGAAAAGUUUAAAAGAAUUUUUUAAAUAAAAAGAAUAAACUUUUUGAUAAUUUCUCAUCAAAAUUAUUUUAAAUGUUUUAUCCUUAUACUCUUUUUUCUUAUGUUAUUUUGUUGAAUAACUCGGGUCUACAACGUUGAUAUCGAACUAAUGGAGAUUGCAUGAUUGUGGGCGUCUUGAUAAUCUGGUAUGAUGUCGGGGUGUAUAUGUGUUUAUUAUAUAAGUUAGGAAAUAAACGCUAGUCUCUUAUAAAAAAUAUUACUUGCAGAAUCGACUAGAUAAUCUUAAAACAUAGUGUUAAAAUAUUUUCUAAAUUUUGUGUGAGAAUGUGAAGUAUUUUGACGUGGUCGAAAUCCUUAUGUAAAAAUAGUGCAAAUUAAGAUAGAAUUGUUGAAAAGGUAAAUUAUUUCGACAAAUUUUUUAUAAAAGAUAAUGUAAAGUGAAAAGCAAUAGUAAUGAAAUGAAAGAAAGAUUGCAAAGGAAAUAAGUUUAAGUAAAAGAUUUUGUAUUAAAUGAAAUGGUGUUUGAAAUCAUACAUUUCACUCAGAUUACUCAUUUCACGCUUCACUUGGGUACUUUGAGUUUGUGAGUUUUUGUAGUAAAUUCAACAGAACACCCUAAAUCCUAACACUAGAACUCUUAUUUAUACUAAUGUAAAAUAAUUGCUUAUAACGAUAUUAUUUUCAGAAAUUGACACAUAAUUGUUGCAUGGUUUUCACCUCUGAAACGUCUCCCACGUGUCUCUCUGGAUAAGACUAAAAGAAAGUUACUGACUUUGAAAUUGUUUCUUUGCGCCAACUGAUGUUUGUCGACGUGUCUCGCUGAUUAUUAACGUCAAAAUCUUGAACAAUGUUGCCGUCAAAAUCUUGAAUUGAAUCUAUUUUCAGAAAAUACUAAGUCUCAAUCUCUAUCUCAGAUCUGAGACUUCGAAUCCCUUAGCUGGCAAACUGAAUCGAAAUCUCUUUUCAAACUUCCAACUUUUUCCUAAUUGUGCUUAGAUUUGAUCCUGUCAAAAAUCCCAGUUAACAAAUUGUCCCUCAAAAAUGCCACUUUCGACUGAAGGAAGAUAGAGGCAUUUUUUACUUUCCUUGACACUAUUUCACAUAAUGGGCUGACGUCAUUGGCAUCAAGACAUUUCUAUCAACCGUUACCUCGAAAACAUGCAUCUUCCCAUAACUUUUAAUCAUGGAUCUGCUUUUUUAGGAUGACAUGUCUACUUAACCGCAACCGCUCGAUUUCGCCUCUAAUGGCAUGACACGUGUCACAGAAAUUGGCGCAAUUUGUCAAGAAAGCAAAACAAAAGGGUUUUUCUUGAACAAAUUGUUUCCCAUAAUCACAUAGUUCAGGGCCAUGUACUUGAUCUUUUGAUUUAUCGCUCCUGUUGGAUUUCCCAAAUAUUCGACAAUGGGUUUCCGCUAGUCAGUAUCUGACAUUAGGUCGAUGGACAAAACUUCGAAGGCUUCAAGAUUUUCAAAAAACUUAGAAUUUUCAAAGUUUGGUGAUAUCCUAGCUUCGUCUACCCCCCUCCCCCCAACUUUUAACAUUGGCAACGCCUCUAAAGAGUUGUCAGCUGAGAUUAACUUAUCUUUAAUUUCCACCAAAUCCUCUAAUAUCUCUUUGGAGAUUUUAUAACCUGAAGCAAUAUGGGAUAACUCAUUAGCCUUUUGAUUCUCCAAUCGAGGUAUAUGAUCAAUAACAACGUAGUUGAAACGUUUCAGUAAGAAUUUGGCUAUAACGAAGUACAUCAUUAAGUUCUCUUUGAUGCACUUAUAUUAUUUUUUCAAUUAUCUAACUACCAACUUUGAGUUACCUUUUAUUUCGACAUCAUUUCCCCCCAAGUCCAACAAUAUCUAAAGUCCUAUUAUCAAGGCCUCAUAUUCAACCUCGUUGUUUGAACAAAGGCUUUCGAUUCUAAAUUCGAACUUGGUUGGUAUAUCCUCUGGAACAAUUAUAAAAACUCCAACUCCAAUUUCGUCUUUAUGUCUGGAACCGUCGAAGUAUAAUUUCAAAGGCAUUUCCUUUACGUAACUUUCUAUUGCUUCGACCACUAUGUGAUCAACAAUGAACUUUGUGACAAUCUGCCCUUUUAUUGCUUUUAGAGGAUAAUAAGUUAGUGAAUAUUCAAUGAGUGCUAAUGCCCACUUCUAUAUUCGACUGUGAAGUAUAGGUUUUGACAACAUGUGUUUGAUCACAUCGAAAUGAGAAUACACAUAAACAUCAACAGGAUUUAUAUAAUGCUUUAGUUUUGUAGAUAAAAAGUAUAAACAAAGACAUAACUUCUCUAUUGCAUUAUACCUAGUUUCAACAUUAUUCAGGAUUCGACUAAGGUAAUAAAUGGCUCUUUUGACGUCAUUCUCGUCCUCUUGUGCUAAAACACUUCCUAUGGUCGAAUCCGAUGCAGAUAUGUACAAUUUCAUGUUCUUAUUUAUACUAGGAGGUAAUAAAACAGGAGGCUUUGUCACAUAGCUCUCGAUUUUGUCAAAGGCCUCUUGUUGCUCGCUCCUCCAUCUGAAAUCAUUUUCUUUCCCGAGUCGAAGUAAUGGCGAGAAAGCCUAAGUCUUGCCAUUUAAUUUGGAUAUGAACCUUCGUAGGAAGUUUAUUUUUCCCAACAAAUAUUGGAGUUGUUUCUUUGUCGAGGGAGGCUUAAGAUCCAAAAUUGCUUUGGUUUUUUUAUUAAUCUCAAUUCCUUUUUUGUGCACCACGAAUCCCAAGAAAUCUCCUACGUGGACAUAAAAAGCACAUAUUAAUGGAUUCACUUUUAAUCCAUAUUUCCUCAUCCUUUCAAAGGAUUGUCAAAGAUGGCCUAAGUGAGCAUUUUCUGAAGAGGACUUUAUGACUAUGUCAUUGAUGUAAACCUGCAUGAAUGUUUCAAUGAAGUCAUGAAACAUCGAAUUCAUAGCCCUUUGAUAGGUUUCUCCGACAUUUUUUAAACCAAAGGAAAUUAGUACCCAUUUAUAGGUUCCUAAAGCACCUGAGCAUCGAAACGUCAUUUUAGGUACGUAUUCUUCAACUCUAAAAAUAUGAUUAUAACCUAAACAUCCACCUAACAUACUUAGAUAUUUAAAACCUAUAGCGGAAUCUACUAACAUUUCUACCACUGGCAUUGGGUAUUCGUCUAUAGGUGUAGCAUUUUUCAACUCUCUAAAAUUUGUACAUACUCUAAGAGUUCCAUUAUUCUUUAUAAUAGGCACAAUAUUUGCUAACCAUUCGAAGUACUUGGUUGUUAUAAUGAACUUUCUCUUGAGAAACCUUUCGAUCUCCUCUUUGAUCUUCGACAUGAUUUCUGGAGCGAACCUCUUUGGUAGUUUCUUCACCGGCUUUUUACCAGGUCGAAUUGGUAGCUUUAAAUCCAUCAUGUUUCGAUUCAAUCUUGGAAUUUCGUUGUUAUCCCAGGCGAAACAAUCUUUGAAUUCCCUAAGCAAUUCAACCAUAUUUUCCUUCAUGCAUGGUUUGACUUUAGCGCUGAUGUAGGUUGGUCUUUUUACUACUCAAUCACCAAGAUAUAUUUCCUCAAAUGGAUCUUGGGCUUGCAUAUUCUUUAUAGAAUCAAUUGGUUCUUUUCAAACCCCAAAGGCUCGUUGUCAUAAAUACGAUCAAGCCUCCGAAUUUCUGAAGCUGUUGUUUGGCCAAAAUGGUCAUUUCCAAUUUUCCCAGAAUCUUCCAGAAUGGCUUCAAAACCCAUAUUUUGCAAUGUUACAGCCUCUGGGGCCAAGUUUAGUCUAUUUUCAUCCAUAUAUGUCACAAUCUGAGCCAAAGAGGUUGACUCAGUAGUCAUGGUCGUCGACCAUUGUCCCCCUAGUGGGUGCGACCCUUCUUUCUUUGACAGUGUGAUCUCCCACGUCUUCCUUAUCCUAGAUAAAUCUAUGGUUGGGAUAUAGCUUUAGAAAGUACGUAGCAUAUUUCUAGAGAGUGUAGGUAUCCUAUGUUUCAUAACAUGGAUGGAUUUUGGCUAGGUUCCUAUCGAAGUGCUUCUUACCAACCUUGUUAACUUCAACCAUUUAGUAACUCUGGUCAGCUUCAAUAUUCUUCACUAUGUCGUCGGGGAGCCAUAUGGCAAUCCUUUGGUUCAAAUUUGAAGGAACUACACCAAUACCAUGUAUCUGUUUGUGUCCUAGAAACAUAUUAUAGUUUGCAUCAGACACAAUCACCAUAAACAAUGUUGGCUUGAUUGUAGUACCAACUGAUAAUUCGACAUAUAUUACUCCCAGGAUAUGGCUGGUCUUGCCUUCAUAGUUUAGAUAUUUUAUAUAUGACUUCCCUAUUUUCUUAAACAAGGAAUGCAACAUUAAAUUUACAGUCGCUUCUCCGUCAACAAAGAUUUUAUUGACAACAACGUUGUCUACCUUUGCCUUUACAAACAAAAGUUUCAGGUGGUACAUCAUUCCAGCAUUUGGUGGUUGAAAUCCUGGAUGUUGCCCUAAGUUUACAUGGGACAUCCUAUUUUUCAGGAAUUUUGACUUUCCUAACAUUUGAUAUUUGAGGGGUUGGUCGAGUCUGAACCUCAGGGGUGCUGAAAAAAUCGGCUAUUCGACCCAUCUGGUUGGCCAACAACUCAUAUGUUUGGUUAGUAUUUGUAAUCAGAGGAUUGAAUAUUGUGAAGGAGAAUUGCCAUCCAAGGCGCAGCGGAAUUUAAAAAUUUCUCCAUUUAGUGAUCCUUACGAAUGGGCAUGAUCAGUGAUAGAAUCGUUACCUCUUGUGGCGAUUCAAACCUUUGGUGCAGAUCUCUGAUAAUGAUCAAAACNGAGUUUGCACCGAACUAGGUUAACAAUUACUUGUGUCUCUUGCAUUAUGUUCUUUUAUCUUUUACCCUGUUUUGUAUUGCUCAGUAUAUUAGUGUCAUGACAUUACCUUCGACAUUUAUAUCUGAUACCAGAAUUCCAAUCGUUAACAUCAUUAUGUGAGAUAGAUUGCAAGGGCAAAAAAAACUUAAGGUAAAGUCUUAGGGUAAAACUGUUUAACGAGUGUUUUUGAAAUACAUUGUUUACACAGAAUAUUAAAAUAAUUAUUUACAAUAAAUGUUUGCUCUUAUUACUUAAUUAUCUUUGUUGAUAUCUUUUCUCUUAUGUUCUAACCCUUUGGUUAAAUAGAAAAACCGAACGUUAGAAUAUUUUGUUACACUUAUAAGCAAAUAAAAUCAUAAACUGCGUUAUGCUGGGAUCAAAAUCUGUACUGAUUAUUUUUUCACCUCAGUCUUAAGAAAAUAGAGAGAAUGUAUGGUUUUUUUUUAUUUUUUUUAAGUAAUAAAAAUAGCGCGCCUUGGCUUUAUACCUCGAUUUUCAUUGUGUGAGGUGAAGCUUUGUCAUGAAAGCGUUAUUUAUUGUAGUGCCUACUUGAUACACUGGUAAUUAGUGGGCAUCUGGAUUUACUGAUUUGGUUGCAAUCGAAGAUCGAAUUAGAAAAGGAAUAAAAGAUGGCAAGAUUCUCAUCAACGUUGGGCAUCCAGCGCUCAAUAGAAGUUCUCUAAAAAUUUCAAGAAGUAAAGAAGGGAGAGAGAACAAUGUGUAUCUCUGAUGACAGAGGAAGAUCUCGCCAGAAGGAGGCCACCAUAGCAUAUGAUAUAUCAACAUCGGUGUGUGCCCAUGUCGUACUAUCCACAACCUUAUGUAGCUGAUAUUACGCUAACUAGUAGCAAGCCGCUCUUCAUUGCUUAUCAAUGUCUUUUCUCAGGGUAUACAUAGAACCUGGUAGCUCAUCACCGAGCACUGCAUAUCUCCAUGAAGUGUCUGGACGAUGCGCUAGCCCGAGUUUGCGGUGGACACAAGAUUUAUCACGUAAAUGUUAUGCCAAAAGUCUACAUUGGAAAAGCUAUCUUGUAAAGAGACAAUGAUGAUACCUAUGUGAUGGUGGUCAAGAACAUUUGAUGGAUCAAGAAAACUGUAUUCGAGAAGUUGAUCUACCCAGCUAAUAGGCCCACAUUUCCAACUAAAAUUCCAAGUUAUGGGCAUCAAUUCUGCAUACAAUUGCCUAUUGAGGAGGCCUUGGAUCCAUGUUGUAGGGGAAUGACUUCUACCAUUCAUUAGAAGAUGAAGUUGUAAGUCAAAGGCAAUUGAUCAUAAUAUCUGGUGAAGAAGAUUGAUGAUCAGUCAUCUUUCAACGUUCAGGUAUGUAGAGGCUGGCGAGGAAGCAUUGGAAACUUCUUUCCAGGAUCUCAAAAUUGCUAAUGUUGUGUUCUUGGAGGAGAAAGACCAAGACACGAAUGUGAACUCAUGAUUUGUCUCGUUGAAGAGUACGAGGGAAACGCUUGAGAAGGGAUCCCUGAAGUUGGGUCAACUGAUCAGCAUCCAGGAGAAAGGGAUCGCUUUAUAAGCCUCUUAUAGAGAGAGACGCCCGAGGUCCUACAAAUACCAUCGUUUGAAGUUUUAAAGAGGUGUUUAUUAGCAUCGGCUUCAUGCACCGACAACCAAGUGGAUGCUUUAGAAGACGAUACAACAGGUUCAUAAAUACCAUGCCUGGUAUACCAUUGUGUUGUUGCUUUGGACAACUGGGAAACCAUUGAUCUACCAGAAGUCUUUCACUUGUCAAAGUAAUUUGUUUACUCAAAUCCUUUUAAUCCUACCAAGGCUUAAGGAUCAUAUGUAGGGCCCUCUUUAUUUUAAUGAUUAUCAUCAUUAAUAACAACAUUUUGUUUAUUCAAUCUUGCUUUAUUUUAUUUGUUUUUUUAACAAAUGACAACCUUCAAAAUGACAAAAACAUUUUUUUCUAUUUUAAUUUUUAAUUUUUCACUUUCUAAAAUCAACAUUAAAAUCAUGCAAAUAAUCAAUGAAUCCGGUUGAACUUAAUAACACUACAAUCCCUCAUAACUUUGAGCUCCCCAUUAACCAAGUUGAAGAGGAGUGUGAGGACGAUUGUGGUCUUCUUAAAGAGCUGGAAAGGCUGCUCGACACAACUCCAAAGCCAUGCAGUCGCAUCAGAGGCGAUGAUGGUCAUCAACUUGGGUAUAUAGAGAAAAAGAAGAAGGUCCAGGUCAGGAUCCACACUUUGAAGCAAGCAUCAAAGAGAGGUUGGUCAAGUUUUUGCAUGAAUGUGUGGAUGUGUUUGCCAGGUCAUAUAAAGAUAUGCAAGGACUAGACACAUACAUUGUUGAGCACCGACUACCACUACAACCGAAUGCCUGCCCUGUGAAGCAAAAGAUGGUGAGAACUAGUCCUGACAUGUCCAUCAAAAUCCGGGAAGAGAGGUCAAGACACGUUCGACACAGGAUUUCUAGUAGUGGCUAAGUACCCUAAAUGGGUUGCCAACAUCGGUUUGUGCCCAAAAAAGGAUGUCAAAGUGAGUUUGUGUGUUGACUAUUAGGUAUUUAAACAAAGUAAAUCCAAAGGACGACUUUCUCUACCAUAUAUUGAUACACUGGUAGACAACACUGCCAAGUUCUCCGUCUUCUCCUUCAUGAAUGGUUUCUCAGGCUAUAAUCAGAUUAGGAUGACGUUCGAGGAUAUGUUUUCUGUUAUUGAAACUCAAGUUAUUUUGAUGGAACUUUUACCUUCAUUAACAAGAUUUAAUCGAUGGUAAUUAAAGAGAAGAGUAAGUUAUUGCUUUACUUCAUAAAGCUGAUGAUAGUGUUAAUGCUGAAGAAUUAAAUACUUUGAUAAAUUCUUAUGAUGCAGAUCGUGGUAAAGUUCAGACAUCUACUCAUUAUAAUGGUUACAGAAGGAUACUAGAUUUGCACUCAUUGUGAUAGACUUGGUCAUAUCUAAAUGUGGUUUCAGAAAAAACAUGUUAUCUCCUUAUUUUGCAUGAAACAUAUCUAUUAGUGCUUACAAUUAUAAUGGUGGUGAGGAGAAAAAUAAGUUGUCACUAGAAGACCAUAGGAAAACCAUUCUCCAAUGCCCUUAUGCGAAGACAUGUGAGUUAGACAUUUCACCAAGACGGAUUCACAUCUGACCAAGUUAAUCGAUCAAACACAUCAUACCAUUUAACAACCUUUCAACUAAUAAAUUCAUAUUAGUAUUGAUAAAUUCACCCUAUAAGCUCUUACACUUGGUUAAGCGAGAAUUUUGUAUUAUUUAUUACUCCCACUUCUCGACUAGCCACUGUGUUUUCAGACUAUGACAUCAGAUACACCUCAAUCAGAGAACUACUCAUUGGUAUGGAAGAGACAUUUACGUUUUUGCCUAAGAGAUGAUAGAAUAUUGAUAAUUCCGAAGACACAAAAAGAAAAAUUUAGGAUCAAAUCGCAACCUUAAAGAUUUAUGCAUCAUUUUGCGAUGUCAAACAGUUAUGUUUAUUAAGACAACAUUGUCCUCGAAUCAACAUGAAUAUAAUAUUUUUAACAAUAAAUGGUCCCAACAAGGCAACUUUAAUCUACAAAUACAAGACUCCAUCAGCCAAAGGCUUUGAGAGACUACUAUUCCAGGAUGUGCUUUUUCUUUAUCUAAGUCCAAUAUCUCUACUUCAAGUUUAUAUAAACUUAAUCUAUAAACAUUAAGGUACACUUCUUAACCUGAAAAUAUUUUCACAUUUGAUUGUCAUUCUCUGAAUUUUAAAGUGUUUGCAGAUAUAGCGACAUCAAACUAGAACAUCUAGACGCCAACAAUCAUGCAGUCUCCAUUAUUACAUUUGAUUGUGAUUGUCUGAAUUUUAAAGUGUUUGCAGAAGAUACCCCGACAUCAAACUAACCAACAAUGAUGUAAUCUCCAUUAUUUCAAUAUUAACAUUAUAACCCGAGUUCUUUCAACAAAAUAUAUAAAAAGAGUUCAAGAUAAAAUAUUUUAAAAUUGUUUUUGAUGAAAAUUAUCAAAAAAUUAUUCUUUUUAUUUAAAAAUUAUUUUUUAACUUUUUUUCGAAAAAAAAGUAAUAUAAAGUAUAUUUUAGAAAACUUUCAAUUUUAAAAUUUUCCUUAUAGUAAUCUUUAAAUUAUUGGUGUGCCGUACAUAAUUAAUAAAGGGAUUGGUUAGGCAAAUAGAAACCACGGUCCCUAAACGUGGUUUUCAAUAUCCCUAAACAAUACAGAUGGCGACAACAUGCAUAGGAAAAAACAGCGGCGACCGCAACAAUAAACAGCAGUACCGGCUAACAGAAAACUCAUAAUCUGAACCACUUUACUCAACUCAUUCAUUUCAAUUUAUAUAACUUUGAGAAUUUCAUAUUAACCAUCAACUUCAAAUUCAUCAUCAUACAAUUAAUCUCGAAAUUCAUUUGCAAUGGCUUCGUUGAUACUUUUAUUUUCGGACCUUCUUUGGAUCCAUGAGUGGGAUGCUACAGCUCUAUUAGCCACAUAUCCUCCAUCUUCUCUUCUUCUUCAUCGGCUCCUGCUGCUCAGAGAAACUUUGAAAGAUGAAGAAACUGUGAUUGAGAAUAAUCCAUGGAAUUUGAAUCCAGGGUAUGUGUGGAUUUGUUUGGCCUUAAACUUCUUCAACUUUCAUUAGGAGAUGAAAACUGAUGUAUUCUACUGUACUGAAAUGUAAUAACUUAGUGUAAUUUUGUUUAAUCUUCUUUACUUUAUUAUUAGGAGAUGAAAUGAUUCGGUAUGGUGUAUGGGGUCUGAGUAUUGUAACUUAGUUAGACAUGUUCUUAGGAUAACAUUAUCCUUGAUUAACAGAAAACAGUCCUAACAAGGGAACCUUAAUACAAAUGCAAGACUACAUCAGCCAAAGGCUUGAGAGACUACUAUUCUAGUAUGUGUUUUUUCUCGAUCUAAGCGCAAUACCUCUACUUCAAGAAAAUUAGGCAGGAAUUACAUGUCAUCUGAAAAGAAGAAUAUUAUAAAUAAUUUAUUUAUUAGUAUAAAUAAGAAUUUAAUGUUGGAUAUCAGAGUGUUCUUUCGAAUUUACUUAAAAACUCCAAAUCACGUACCCAAAACAAAGCGAGAAAUGAGUUAUCUGAGGGGGAAUAUAUGAUUUCAAAUACCAUUUCAUUUAAUGCAAAAUCUUUUACUUUAAUUAUUUCCUUGAGAUCUAUCUUUAAUUUCAUUACUAUUUCUUCUUCACUUUACAUUAUCUUUUAUAAUUUGUGUCACUUUCUCAUUGUCGAAAUCAUUUACCUUUCAAGCAAUUAUACCUUAAUUUGCACUACUUUUAAAUAUAGAUUUCGCCACGUCGAAGCACUUCACAUUCUCGCACAAAACUAAGAAAGAUUUUUAUUACUACGUUCUAGGAUUAUCUGGUCAAUCCUGCAAGUAAUCUUUUAUAAAGACAAACAUUGUUUACUAAAUUUCACAGUAAACAAAAUUGGCACGCCCAGUGGGACGUUGUGCUAAAACCUUUUUCUAUUAUAGAUAUUAUAGUUUUCUUUAGAAUUUUUUUGCGUACAUGAAAUGUUAUGAUAUUUGCGUGCAUUUAAGAAGUGGAAAGAUUUACAAAAAUGAUGCGUCCUUCUAUGGAUAACUCUAACAUCACCAACAAUCCUCAAAAUUAGUAGAAUAAUUAGUCAGAUCGACGGUUGGAAGACAAUUAUUUCAACGCCUGAAUUCCACUUUAACCCCGUAGUUGCAAGACCUAUGUUAGUUUUUCGACGCCAAUGAAUAGGAGGGACUACUCUUAUGGCAUUGCCAAUAUCGAUGAUGACUGACCUUCACAUAACAUGUCGACAUAUAGUGAAAACGCAAUGGCCACGAGGCCAUCAUAAUCGCCAUAAUUCCUCUUCUUCAACCAUAAAUAAUAUGGUUUGACCACGAGGGAUACUUUUAUCCCUCAAGUGACACCAUCAUUAGAUACGAUGUCUAUGAUGACUAUAUGAGGCAACAAAUAUAUGAAUCAAUCUUGAAAUGGUUAACACUUUGACCCACAAAUGGGCUACAAUAUGUUAGUGUAAGCCCUAGAGGCCAAUACUUUUGGUACUUGUAUCGAAUUAUUUAUUAUUAAUAAAAGGUUUUUUUUUGUUAUGUUUGAUUAAUAAAGUCCCUAGAAUAGCAGUCCGUUUAAUGUAUCAAGUAUGACUUAAUCAUAGAUCACAUUAAACAUAAGGACACUAUCCUUAAAGUAUCCGGAGUCGAGCUUUAUUGUGAAGUGGGAUAACAUUAAAGCAUAAGACUAUUAUGUUUUAGACUGAUGAUCACAUAUCAUGGAUCUGGAUAAAGGUUAUCAAGUAUUAACAUAGGUAUGAUAUUAGAGUAAUAUUUAUACCGAAUUGACCCGCAAUGAGAAUACUAUAUAGAAAGUUAUGCAAAGUGUCAUAAGUUAUUCUUCAUGGUGAUAAUGGUGUUACCACUCUUCGACCUGAAACCACUAUGGACCCUAGAUGUAGAGUCGAGUGCUUUAUUGUGAUCCAACGUUGUCCGUAAUUGGAUAACCAUAAAGACAGUUGAUUGGUACUCCACAAAGCAUGCUGAGGGACAUGAGUGUCCUAGAUGGAAUUUGCCCAUCCUGCGUAACAGGAUAAAUGUCUAUGGGCCCAAUAUUGAACUGGACAAGGAUGACACGGUCUAUACCUUAUGUUCAAUAUAGACAUAAGGGCAAAAGGGUAAUUAUACACAUAAUUAUUAUCACAGGAGGUUUGUCAGAUCACAUGAUAUUUUCGUGUCUUGGGUAGCAGUGAUGUGUUGCUAGAUACCGCUCACUGUUUAUUAUGUUAAAUGCCUGAUUUAAUAAUUGCCAACGUCGCGAAAACCUACAGGGUCACACACAAAGGACGGAUUGAUGAGAAAUAGAGUAACUAAGGAACACCGUAAGGUACGGUGCACUUAAGUGGAUACGAAUAUGGUAAGGUACCACACGCUUAAGUGAUUUUGGGCAUAUAUUAUAAGAUAUGGGCCAAAAUACACUUAAGUGGGCUUUUUAGCUUGAAGCCACACAAGUGGUUCUAUAAAUAGAACCCUUGGUAGAAGCAUUGUCACUCAGACUAACACUCAAGUGGAGACUUGGAAUUUCGUUUCCCUCUCUCUCUCUCUCUCUCACUCAAAGCCUUCAUUCGUACCAGCUAGCACUGAGAUUGAAGGAACCCGUUCGUAUGAUUGAGUAGAGACGUUGUCAUCGUUCAACGUUCGUUAUCGCUCCGUGGAUUUGUAUCCAAGUUUUUUGAUCGUUACAAGAGAUCUCCACAAUAAAGCUCGACUACGGAUACUUUAAGGAUAGUGUCCUUAUGUUUAAUGUGAUCUCAUGAUUAAGUCAUACUUGAUACAUUAAACGGACUAGCUAUUCUAGGGACUUUAUUAAUCAAACAUAACAAAAAAAAACCUUUUAUUAAUUAAUAAAUAAUUCGAUACAAGUACCAAAAGUAUUGGCCUCUAGGGCUUACACUAACAUAUUGUACCCAUUUGUUGGGUCAAAGUGUUAACCAUUUCAAGAUUGAUUUCAUAUAUUUGUUGCCUCAUAGUCAUCAUAGACAUCGUAUCUAAUGAUGGUGUCACUUGAGGGAUAUAAAGUAUCCCUCGUGGUCAAACCAUAUUAUUUAUGGUUGAAGAAGAGGAAUUAUGGCGAUUAUGAUGGCCCUGUGGCCAUUGCGUUUUCACUAUAUGUCGACAUGUUAGUGUGAAGGUCAGUCAUCAUCGAUAUUGGCAAUGCCAUAAGAGUAGUCCCUACUAUUCAUUGGCGUCGAAAAACUAAACAUAGGUCUUGCAACUACGGGGUUAAAGUGGAAUUCCAGGCGUUGAAAUAAUUGUCUCUUCAACCGUCGAUCUGACUAAUUAUUCUACUACAUUUUGAGGAUUGUUUUGUGAGUUAGAGUUAUCCAUAGAAGGACGCAUCAUUUUUUGUAAAUCUUUUCCACUUCUUAAAUGCACGCAAAUAUUCAUAACAUUUCAUGUACGCAAAAAAAUUUCUAAAGAAAACUAUAAUAUCUAUAAUAGAAAAAGGUUUUAGCACAACGUCCCACUGGGCGUGCCAAUUUGUUUACUGUGAAAUUUAGUAAACAAAUGUUUGUCUUUUAUAAAAAGAUUACUUGCAGGAUUGACCAGAUAAUCCUAGAACGUAGUAAUAAAAAUCUUUCUUAGUUUUGUGCGAGAAUGUGAAGUGCUUCGACGUGGUCGAAAUCUAUAUUUAAAAGUAGUGCAAAUUAAGGUAUAAUUGCUUGAAAGGUAAAUGAUUUCGACAAUGAGAAAGUGACACAAAAUUUAUAAAAGAUAAUGUAAAGUGAAAAGAAAUAGUAAUGAAAUUAAAGAUAGAUCUCAAAGGAAAUAAUUUAAAGUAAAAGAUUUUGCAUUAAAUGAAAUGGUAUUUGAAAUCAUAUAUUCCCCCUCAGAUAACUCAUUUCUCGCUUUGUUUGGGUACGUUGAGUUUGUGAGUUUUUUAAGUAAAUUCGAAAGAACACUCUGAAUCCUAACAUUAAAUUCUUAUUUAUACUAAUAAAAUAAUUAUUUAUAAUAUUCUUCUUUUCAGAUGACAUGUAAUUCCUGCCUAAUUUUCUUGAAGUAGAGGUAUUGCGCUUAGAUCGAGAAAAAACACAUACUAGAAUAGUAGUCUCUCAAGCCUUUGGCUGAUGUAGUCUUGCAUUUGUAGAUUAAGGUUCCCUUGUUAGGACUGUUUUCUGUUAAUCAAGGAUAAUGUUAUCCUAAGAACAUGUCUAACUAAGUUACAAUACUCAGACACACCAUACACGAAUCAUUUCAUCUCCUAAUAAUAAAGUAAAGAAGAUUAAACAAAAUUACACUAAGUUAUUACAUUUCAGUACAGUAGAAUACAUCAGUUUUCAUCUCCUAAUGAAAGUUGAAGAAGUUUAAGGCCAAACAAAAUCCACACAUACCCUGGAUUCAAAUUCCAAUGGAUUAUUCUCAAUCACAGUUUCUUCAUCUUUCAAAGUUUUUCUCUGAGCAGCAGGAGCCGAUGAAGAAGAAAGAGAAGAUGGAGGAUAUGUGGCUAAUAGAGCUGUAGCAUCCCACUCAUGGAUCCAAAGAAGGUCCGAAAAUAAAAGUAUCAACGAAGCCAUUGCAAAUGAAUUUCGAGAUUAAUUGUAUGAUGAUGAAUUUGAAGUUGAUGGUUAAUAUGAAAAUUCUCAAAGUUAUAUAUAAUUGAAAUGAAUGAGUUGAGUAAAGUGGUUACAGAUUAUGAGUUUUCUGUUAGCCGGUACUGCUGUUUAUUGUUGCGGUCGCCGCUGUUUUUUCCUAUGCAUGUUGUCGCCAUCUGUAUUGUUUAGGGAUAUUGAAAACCAC
RNAcentral lists this long non-coding RNA (47676 nucleotides) under Lathyrus oleraceus (garden pea). Its description in RNAcentral is "Pisum sativum (pea) long non-coding RNA (PSAT_LNC009950)". Lineage: Eukaryota; Viridiplantae; Streptophyta; Magnoliopsida; Fabales; Fabaceae. The record is from RNAcentral.